This 58755-nucleotide long non-coding RNA is filed under the name Arabidopsis thaliana (thale cress). RNAcentral describes it as "long non-coding RNA (ATHA_LNC000136)". Lineage: Eukaryota; Viridiplantae; Streptophyta; Magnoliopsida; Brassicales; Brassicaceae. The record is from RNAcentral.
GUUUUUUUUUUUAGUUUUUCUAUUUAUAUAAGAAACAUGUCAAUAUCUAAACGAUAGACUUGACACGUAUCAUGAUCACGCGAGUUCAUAACUUUGAAAACCAUACUUUAUAUAUAAAAUUUAUUACAUGUGUUAUAAGAUUAUAAUGAGUAAAAUAUAUGACUAACUAUCAGAUUUUGAACUUUUAAAGAUGGGUCAAUAGUUGAACAAUUACUUUUUGUUGGUCUCGGAAAUUGAGCCAGGAUCCACGGGUCCUCCCAAACAGAGAUGGAUGUCCUUGAACCUACUCUUUUAAUAAGUCUUUUAUUAACCAGAGAUCUAGCUUAACAAAUACUUCUCCAGCCAUAAGACGGAGAGCAUGAUUUUAUAUUUUCCAAAGGAUUGGAUUUCCUAAAAUAUCUCCCUUUAAAAACCUUAAAAAAGAGAGUCCGAAGACGAAAUUAACCGCAAUAACUGUUUCGCAAGUAAGGCCGAAUCAAAAUCAUCUACAUCCCAAAAACCUAACCACCUUCCAAUUUACUAUUACACAGUUUAUUCCAAGCCAUCCAAUGCAUACCUCUAGAGUCACCAUUCGAGCUCCACCAAUACCUUGCUACCGCAUUUGUUAGUUUAGAAGUAAUUGUUUUCAAGAGCCUAAAGCAAGACAUCACAUAAGUUGGUAAUGCUGCAGCUACCGAUUUGAUCAUCACUUCUUUCUCUCCUAUCGAUAAGAAUAUAGCCAACUAGCCAUUUAUUCUACUUUGCAAUCUAUCUCUAACAAAGGAAAAAAGCUUUGUCUUAGAGCCCCCUAAACUUUCCGGUAGUCCGAGAUAAGAACCCAUGCCUCCAAUAUUAUGUAUACCCAGGGUCAAUUUAAUUUCUGUCUUUAUAGCAUCAUCUACUUUAUGCCCAAACUGCAUCGAUGAUUUUGUACAAUUUAUCAUUUGUCUCGAAACCGCUUCAUAUUGUUUUAAGAUAUCAAUAUUACUCCGCACUGUUCUUUAUCAGUUUUACAAAAGAAAAGAUUAUCAUCUGCAAAUAACAAGUGAGAAACUGAAGGGCUCGUUGUUGCUACUUAGAUACCCGUGAUCAAUUUUGGUUGUUCAGCUUUCCGGAUAUUUGUUGUUAGCACCUCAGUGCAGAGUAUGAAUAAGUAAGGAGAAAGUGGAUCUCCUUGUCUUAAUCCCCGUUCUGGUAUUAUUAGUCUUUUAGGUUGUCUAUUAAUAAGGUCCCUAUACUGGACUAAAGUAAUACACCACAUUAUCCAAGAUAUCAAUUUUUCGCAAAAUUCCAUCUUCCUUAAUAACUCCUUAACAAAAUUCCAUUCAACCCUAUCAUAUGCUUUACUCAUAUCUGUAUUGAUCUCCUGAAAGAGCUCUUUGAUCCGAAAAAUGUCCAGCUGAUAAGUGAUGUGCACUUGGGUGCGUCAAUAAGAGAUGAUAUCCCAGUUUGGCAUUUCACAAAAUCCGGAAACUAUAAAGUUAAAUCUGGCUACCAUAUAGCACGGAUGAAAAACUUGGUAAAUAAUUCAUCUUUUAUUGGUCCAGAAAUCAAAGCUCUAAAAUCACAUGUUUGGAAAUUGCAAUGUCCGCCUAAAUUACGUUAUUUUUUACGGCAAAUAUUAUCAGGCGUUGUACCGGUAACAAACAAUUUGAGGAAGAAAGGUAUAAUUUAUGAUUCAGGAUGUGUUAGAUGUGGCACUAUUAAGGAAACAGUAAACCAUAUAUUUUUCUAGUGUCAUCUAGCGAGACAAAUAUGGGCACUCUCGAAGAUUUCUACGGUCCCAGGGAUUUUUCCCACAAAUUCUAUUUAUGCGAAUUUGGAUCACUUAUUCUCAAGAAUCCCUUCAGAAUUUGAUUCAUCUGCAUAUCCAUGGAUAAUUUGGUAUAUUUGGAAAGUAAGGAAUGAAAAAGUAUUUGAAAAUGUGGAAAAAGAUCUAUUAGAUGUGUUAUGUCUAACUGAAAAAGAGGCACAAUCGUGGCAGUUAGCGCAAGCUGAGUUUAAUACUGAAAACCACGUUUCUAUGCAAUCGAAAUAACAAAUUCGAGUGAGUAAUAUCUCACAAGAUAAUACGUACUCUGGCUUUUGUUGUUUUGUGGACGGAUCUUGGAAAGAAAGCGACAAGUUUUCAGGACUAAGGUGGUUUUGCACAUCUUUAAAUAGAGAGGCGUCAACCAUGGGAGCUGCUAACCUGCGUAAAAGUCUAUCUCCUCUUUAUUCAGAAGUCGAAGCCCUACCUUGGGCAAUGAAGUGUAUGAUUGGUGUCGACAAGUAAGAAAUAACUUUUUUUAUAGACUGUUCAGACAAGUAAGAUGGUGUCUUCCCCAACAGAAUGGCCAUCAUUUUUAUCAUAUUUGGAGGAGUUUUAGACUGACAAGGAAAAAUUCAUUACCUUUUCUUUAUCUUUAAUUUUUCGUAAUACAAAUGUCAAGAUAGAUUAUUAAGCACGAAAAAUUCGUGUAGAACGCUACACAUUAUUUAUGUAAACAAUUUUUCACAGGUUCGUUUGUUUCCUAAAAAAUAUUUCAUGAUAAAAAAUAAAAAAUAAAUUAUAUGACUAAAUUGGGUUAACUCUAAAACAUAUUAUAAUUUCACCUAAAAUUUAGUAAAACCUUAUUAAAAUUUAUUUUAAAAGAUAUUAUAUUUUAACGUUAUUUAAUUGAAACAAAAAUGGUGUAAAACAUCAUUUAUAUUGAAAUAGAAGGAGUGUAUUGAAACAAUAAAAGUGUAAAUUAAUAUAGAUUUGAUACUAACCACUACAACUAAAAAUAUAAGAUUACAUAUAUAGUGCUCAUAUCAUAUAUAUAAAAUUUAGUUUAUAUUAUGCCAGUUCUUUAGCAUAGUGAAAGAAUGUUUCUACGUCCAUCAUAAAAUUCUAGAUUCGACAGUACUAUAGGUUCGUGGAAGAGAAAUAUUAUUUUUUAAAUAAACGUUUCCUCCUUACUAUUAUUUAAAACAUAAUUAUUCAGUUAAAAUAGUUUAAAGAGUUUCAUCAUAUAAUAAGGUGUGUAGUUUUUCUUCGUUUACUUAUUUAAUUAUAGUUCUCUAAAAACCUUUAAAUUAUUAUAUUCAUUGAAUAUAUUUAUAGAUCACACAUCAUAUGCAUGGAUAUUAUUUGGCCUUUCUUUUUUUGCUUUUGGUCUUUCUAUUUUCUUUUUCUCUUGUUGCAACAUUAGAUAAUUGAGAAAUAUAUCAAUGAUUCCCCAUUUUUCGGGCAGUACGUGGUGUCAGUUGUUAGACUAACCCCAUAGUGGUGAGCAAAUUAUUUUUCAUGGCAACAAUGAUAACAUAAUGUUCCAUAUCUACAUCCAAAUAUAGUUUACGAUAUUUAUCGAAACUAUUAAAGCAUGAGUUAUGUUGGAAAAUUGUAAAACUAAAUGGGUGCAUGUUACAAACUAACUGGUUUCCCUCAUGUAUAUUGGGGGCUAAAAGUACAAUAACUAAACGUUCACAAAAGAUUCAAAUAAAACAUCUGACCUUCAGUAACGAGUUCUUUGGAGACUGACCAGAGAGAAAUAUACACCCGUAGGACCUUUAGCUAACAAGGAAGAGUGUGUUCCACAUUCGACAACUUUCCCUUUGUCUAAAACAGUUAUCGUGUCACAGUUUUGAAUGGUGCUAAGCCUAUGAGCGAUCACAACACUUGUCCUUCCAACCAUCAAACGCCCGAGUGCAUCCUGCACCAUGCGCUCUGAUUGGUUGUCAAGAGCGCUCGUAGCUUCAUCAAGAAGCAACACUGAUGGGUUCUUCAAAACCGCACGAGCAAUCGCGAUCCUCUGUUUUUGACCACCAGAUAGUUGUACUCCUCUGUCUCCACAGUACGUAUCAUAGCCGUCCGAUAAUGUUACGAUGAAAUCAUGAGCGUUGGCUGCCUUGGCCGCCUCGAUAAUCUCUGACUCGUCAAUCUUGUCAGAUGCUCCUCCAUACAUGAUGUUCUCUCGGAUUGUCCCAGCAAAUAAUAUUGGCUCUUGGCUAACCAAACCUAUGUGUUGACGAAGUGAUCUCAAAUGAUAAGACCUUAUAUCACGACCAUCGAUCUUUACAAUACCCUUUAACGGGUCAUAAAACCGUUCGAUUAACCCGAUUAUAGUUGAUUUACCUGACCCGCUUGGACCCACUAUCGCUGUCGACUUUCCCUCGUCAAUAUCAAUGGAGAAGUUCUUAAAUAUAAUCACAUCAGGGCGUGUUGGGUACGCAAAGUCCACAUUGACAAACUUUAUUUGUCCCUUUAUGUUUUGUGGGACGAAACCAUCCGGUUUCUCCGGUUCAAUGUUUGUGUAACGAUCUAACACCGCAAAUACUGAUCCGACCGCAUCCGAGCCCUUGGCUAGAUCCAUCGUCAUUGCUCCCGCGUCCGCAAUAACCCGACCCGUACUCACAAAGAGUAUAAACAACUCAAAGAAUGCUUUUGACGUGAUCUUCCCAUCAAUAAUAAGUCUAGCACCGUACCAGUAAUUCAAAGCUGAAGUGCAUGUCAUGAGACUUCUAGAAGUUGCUAGCACAAUCCCUGCUAACCACGAUUGACGGAUAUUUUCUCUUUGUGGUCCUUCUUGAACCAUUUUGAGUAAUUUUAGGAUCCGUUCUUGUGACGAAAAUGCUGUUAUGGUUCGGAUGUUGGAUACAGCUUCUGCCGCUAGUUUGCUGCUCUCAUCUUGUGCUUUAAUGGCUUUUUUCGAUAUGCUUUUGAGUACAAUGCGUUGAGUGUAGAAGCAUCCAACAACCACUGGUUGUAUUGCAAUCAUCACAAUGGAUAAUUUCCAAGAAAUGGCCAAACCAAGUGUGCAAGCUACACUCACUGCUGAUAUAGUUUGUACCAACAACGACACUCGUUCACCAACAAGCGAUCUCACCUGUCAUAACAAAAUAUUAUGGAAUCAUUGGUAAAAAGGUUGAUUUGUAGAGUUUAAAUUAGUAAGACAGAAGACAUACCACGUUUGCGUCUUUGGCUAGUCUAGAGCAAAUUGAUCCGCUCGAGUUCUCGUCUUCAUCGAACCAGCUUACCUCAAAGGUCAAUAGCUUUGAGAGAAUAUUUUCUCGUAUACGUUUCGUUAGGUAUUCACCCAUGUAAGCAAAACUAUAUUGUUGAAUGAUACUGAUCAAGAAACAUAAAACAGCUAGACCAACGAAAAGCAACACAUAGAUCCUUGUUUUCUCCUUCAUCUCAUCAUGACUCGUUAGAAAAUACACUGACACCAUUGAUCCUGAAGCAUAUGCAUAAAUUGGGUGUAAGGCUCCAUACAAGACUGCACUUAAGCAACCAUACAAUGCAUGUUUCCACUCUGGUUUAUUCAUCGCCAUCAAUCUCUUAAAAGAUGGCUUCUUAUCCUUUGGAAUUGAACCAGCAAGAUUUGUAUCAAUGCUUGAAGUUGCGAAAAGGGAAGACCGACUUUGAAUAGAAAGUCUUGAACUAUACUUCACGUCUUUGUUGAAAUUUGAGAAUUGACCCUCUCGCAUACUUACGCUAACGUUAUCAUUUGAUUCUUCAUUUUCCAUGAUUUGUAAGCGGACUAGAGAAGUGUAUUGACCAUCUACAUUCUCCAUGAGCUCUUCGUGUGAUCCAGUUUCUACAAUCUGACCAUUUUUGAAUACACAUAUAACAUCAACAUUACGAAUAGUAGAGAGGCGGUGAGCAAUAACAAUAGUUGUACGACCAAUAGUGGCAUUGUCUAAGGCUUCUUGGACUACUCUUUCGGAUUCUGAAUCUAAUGCGCUUGUUGCCUCGUCUAGCAGUAGAAGUGUCGGUGAUUUGAUUAUCGCACGUGCAAUUGAAAUCCUUUGCUUCUGACCCCCUGACAUUUGCACUCCUCUCUCCCCAACCUUUUUUUGUAAAUAAGAAAAACUAAAUAUCCAUUUUGAGAAAGUUAAACAAUAAUCAAAUUUUCUAAAGUUGGAAUCUAACCUGAGUUUUGUAACCAAGAGGGAACUGAGAAAUGAAAUCAUGAGCAUUUGAGGACUUUGCAGCUUCCACUACUUCAUCAAAGGAUGCGUCCUCUUUACCAAAUAAUAUGUUCUCCUCUAUCGAUGUGGCGAAGAGUGCUGGCUCUUGGCUAACUAGACCCAUUUGUGAUCUCAACCAUUUCACUUGCAACUUUUUAAUAGACACACCAUCGAUAAGAAUCUCUCCUACGAUGGGGUCAUAAAAUCUUUGUAAAAGCGAUAUCACAGUUGAUUUUCCUGAUCCGCUUCCACCCACCAGAGCAACAGAUUUACCAGAUGGGAUUCUUAGACAUAAAUCAUCAAAGAUUGGUGUCUCGGGUCUUGAUGAGUACAUGAACUUCACAUGCUUAAACUGGACUUCUCCUUUAAUAUUCUCAAGAACUUGACCUCUCGGGUUGUCCGAAUCAAUAUCGGGAACUCUUUUUAUCACUUCAAUAAUCCUUUCCCCUGCUACAACCGCCUCGGAGAAAUAUUUGAGAUUCGACAAACCUCGACCAAGUGAUCUACGUAAGAUACAAAAUAUCAAAACUAUAAUAAGAAUACCAAAGAGCCUUAGACAUGUAUAUAUACUUACGUGCCACCAUAGGUGAUGCAUAUGAUGACUGCGAAGAUAGUACCGCCUUUAGCUCCAUGGUACAUAACCAUCCGACUUCCGUACCAAGUCAUGAACCCCCAAAUGGCGUAAGUGACACCAUUGCUCCCAAUGGCGAUUCCUUUAGCUAUUCCUUGUCUCAACCCUAGCUUCACUGAGCCUUCAAGCGCAGCUGAGAAUUUCGAUAUCAUCUUCCUCUCACUACCAAAUGCGUAGACGGUUCGCACCAACGAGAUGGCUUGCUCGGCAAUAGAACCAGCCUCAUUAUACUCUUCACGUAUUUUUCUCGAGAUGUUGAUGAGGGCUCGUCCGCACAUCAGUCCAGGGAUCAAGAGGAGGAUAAAGAACGGGAAACCUACUAUUGUUAGUCUCCACAGCAUGAUGAAACCCACGAUGUAGCUUGCGACAAACGCCGAUGCACUCAUCAAAAAAUUUGGUAACUGUUUGAAACAAAUAUAUAAAGUUUUCACUUGUGAGACCUUUUUCAAUAAAAGAAGCAACUAUAUUGAUUAUUUAGAGAUAUAAUGGUUAGACCUUUUCACUAAGGACGUCUUGGAUCACGAGGGUGUCACUAGAGACACUGGUGAUAACAUCAGAAGUGCUUGUAACAUGAAGAUCAAAGUAACCCACAUCUUGUCUUAACACUGCUCUUAAGUACUUCUCUCUCAUUCUUGAUGCUUGUCUCUCCCCUGUCCUAGUCCAGCAAUAUCCUUCUGUUUUGUUUGUAUUUGGAAAACCAUCCACAAAUUUCAAUAAAAUUUAUUAUGUUGAAAUGCACCAAAUUUAGCUUUCUUUUUGGUGUUAAACAUUAUCUAAAAAACUUACCAACGAAACAUAUCACCAAAGAUGCACCAGCGACAUAAAGCAAAGCUACGGCAUUCUGUUAUUUAGCCAAUGUUUGUGUAAGAAAAAACGAAUAUACAUUAGUACUCUUUUCUUAUAUAUGAUAAAUAUUAUUCACAACAAAGGGUUAUAGCUAGAUUUACUCCAUCUCACAACUCUCGUGGUUCCAUUUUUAAACCAAUUAGCAAUGAAUGAAAUAAAAUGAUUCAUAUCUCUUAUGUAUUAGAUUGGAUUUAUACACGACUCAUAAUUCCUAAACACAUGUCGUCAUUCAAUCUUGCUAAGACCAAGAACAGAGAACAUAGAAUAAAGAAGAGAGAAAAAGACCUUCAUGAUGGCAUGCAUGAAGGUUUUAUCACCGAAUGAGGAAUCACCGAUGUCGUUGAGUAGCAGCCCGGUGAUGAAAAAUAUUAUAGGAGUGAUGAAGCCAUCACCGACGGCUCCGAUUAAACCUAAUCCCAUCAGCACUAAAUCCACACUGUUCGCAUGCAUGAAUAUUGAUCUUACGCUUCCAAAACUCUUCAUGAUCUUCUUCCUUCUCCUUUUGCUUACUUUGGGUUUCGAAAAAAGAAAUACUAAACGACACAUUGACCUUGGGGAAACGACAACAUACAAAGUCCUCAUUUUUUAAGAGCAAAUGGCACUAUUAAUGAAGACUCUAAACUUAAUAUGUUAAAGAAAUCUAAAUUUUUCGAUUUUCACGUGUGUUGUAAUUUGUUCACGUCUUCCUGGUCAUUUUAUAUUGCAAGUAGCAGCAACCGGGAAGCGAGAGGCCGUUGGCUUUUCAAUGCUAACGAAAAAUAUAACAUGAUUUUAUAGCAUUUCAUAUAAACUAUUUUAAAUAUUUUCUUUCUUUUAAACUUAUGAGAUGCGUGGUUUUUAUCUUUAUACAUUUUCAGGUAAGAAACACAACAGUUUAUAUUAGAUAGCGCUGGCAAAUCAUUGCAGUGUUCUAAAACCUGGUUUUAGAAAAAACAUCUAAAGACUGAUUGAAAUUGAUUAGUUUCAGAUGUAAAUAUGUAAUUAAUUGGUCUUGGGUAGUUUUAGGCAGUUUUCAGCGGUUAUAGACAAUUAUGAAUCAAUUCCUAUACUUUUUUGGUAUUAGUUUUUAAUUUCUUUUUCUUUAUUUUUUACGAAAAAAAUAUUCUUAGUACAAUUAAGUUUAUAUAUAUAUUUUUAAAUAACUUCUAAUUUAAUUUUAGAAAAGCGUUCAAUUCUAACGCUUAAGAAAUAAUCAAUUUUAGUAAAUAGUCAGAAAACAUUCUAAAUUUGGGACAAACAUGCAAUGUGGUGGUUCUUCCGGAAGAAAUCCACACUAUUAAGCAUAUUGGUGCAUUUCUACCUGACCGGAUCAGCCGAUAGGAUUUAUGAAAUAAGAACUUUUGUUAUUGACUUAUUGUUAUCUAAUUCCUCAAUUAUAUUUACAUAUUUUCAUCUAUUGUGAAACUUUAAAUUUUCCCCACAAAAAUGGGUGCCCAUGCAAAUGUUUUAAGAUGCCACAUUCAUGGCAGACUCUAGUCAGUUCAAGACCAAUUUGAUCAUAAUAAAACAAAGUAAUAUAUAUGUACCAGAUAUGUCAUCAAUGUAUCAUUGACUUUAGCUGUUUUUGUAUAGUAAAACUAAAAUUAGUAUGAAACAAAGAGAAAUGUAUUAAUUCAAUAUAAAUUCACUGACCACUAUACAAUAGUUAGAAAAAUAUAUCGAGAGCUGUGCCUAAAACUUUUAAUGCCCCAAACAAACAAGAAAAGUGUAUAUAUAGUCUUUCAUCGAACUUUUAUAUCAUACAAUACAAAAAGUAAGUGACUUUGUUUUGUGAAAUAAAGUGCUUUUGCAAUGGUGAGAAAAUAAAGUGUUGUUAUUGUUAAAUAAGUUUUACGAAAUUAGAAACUUAUAUUAGUGAAUAUUUGAAUUAUUCAAAAAUGUUAUGAUAUUUUUGAGACCUUUGAAGUCGUGAUGAGAUUUUAGGGAGUCAUUAUGAGAUACUCGAUCAAGGUCGUUAUAAGACUUUUUAAGACUUUUUGGAUAUGAGAUAUCUGGGGUCGGUCAGGAACUUCUGUGUUUAAUCACAAGACCUAUGUGAAUUGGUUGUGUGAAAACGGAAUUGUAUGGUUAACAAAAAAAAUAAUUAUUAACCAUAACCUUGGCACUGAACGUACUAUGAGUCUAUAUAAGACUAGAAAGUAGAAACUGGUCCAACUACAACCAACUUAAGUUUACAUAUCGGGUCUUUAGGUAUGCGUUUAUAAACGUUAUUUAUGUAACUUACGAUUGUUCCAAUUCUGUUUUUAAAUUUGAGUAUGAACUGCAAAUGCAUGAUCAUAUGUUUUUAUCAAAUUUCUGAGUUCAAUUUUGAUAUAGCUUUAAUCUUAAAAUAAUUAAAAUCAUAUUUUUUUUUCUUCUGGAUAUUAAGAUGUUCUGGCCACAAUCCGUAAUCCACCAGAUCCAAAACCACAUCAUGUAAUAUUAGUUUUGUUCCAAGCGUCACUCGAACCGACGACAUCUAAACGUCGCAUAAGGUAUUUACCAAUUGAGCUAAUGACACUUGGUAAUCAAUUACUAUUAAACAUGAAAAAACAGUUUUAAAAUAUGUUUGGUCAUUGCAAGAUGUGUCUUUCAUUAAUAACUUGUCAAAACUAGGUGGUUGGUGUGGUCACAUAUGUCUUAUGGACUUAAUGAAUGUGUUAGUAUUGGCCUAUUGGGCUUAAAAAGUCCAUCUCCUUCUGAUCUCACUUCUAAACAUAGAGCUCCAUUGAAGGAGUUUGGUCCUCCAUGUGAAAUGCUUCCACCAGCUAAAAGACUCAUAUAAUUGAUCGUGAAGUCGUUGAAUUUACUAUGGAUGAUUCAAGAAUCACGGAGAGGUGCACGUGCCAAUGGGGAUCUCGAAGAUUGAAAUGACCGAAAUGUCUUCUCUAAGCACAAGAAAGGGAUCCAUAUUUUUUUUUGAUGUACCCUAUCGGCUGAUUUGGUUAGCUUUGUUAGGAAUGCACCGAAGUGUUAUAGAGUAGACUUCUCUCGAUACAGGUAGAAUUGAGCUACCAUACAGUCUGAUCCGAAUUUAUAAUGCUUUCCGACUAAUUAUAAGGGAUUGUAAGGCCGCCUACAUUUCUAACUAUCAUGUAAACCAGUUGGACAAAGACCCAAGUGACAGACUUCCCAAACAAAUGUAUUUUUGUUUUUAGGGAUAAUCGAACUUAGGUAUCAGAGUUUUACCAUUCACCAAAACUUUCUUUUGCCACUAAACAACAUAGGCUUGGGCAGGGAUCCACAUUUUUACACUAGAAAUUGCAAGUGAUCUUUGUUCAUUAUGAUGAAAGAGCUUCGUUCCUUUUUUUUUUUUAUCAUACACUCAAACACCCAAAAUCCAUAAGUGUGAAUCUCCGACUCCACAUGUACAACAAGUUAAUUUUCUUCACUGGUUUAUGUCAUUUAAUAUUUUGACUUACAUAGAAGAUUUAAAAUUUCGAAGAAGAUUAUAUUUUCGAUUUUUUGUUGUUAUGUAAAUUUUUUGAAUAUACUUUUGUGUUCUUAUGGCAUUACAUCAAAAAAAGAAGAUGCGAUCUUUUGAGCUAUUAGCUCAAACUCACAAAAGAAACGAAGCCAAAGAACGAACAAAACCGAACGAAUCUUAAGAUGAAAAAAAGAUUGUAGAGAGAAACUCUUAAACCAAACAAGUGACUUCCCGAACUAAAAAGCUACUGUCAGAGUCUUUUGGUCUCAUCUUCUGAUCAGUUUCUCUGUCUCUACCUCGUCUCGCAUCUAGCACCAAAUGUUGUCUAAACGUCGUGAUGAACGCUUCAACUCUCUCGUUCAACUCCUCAUUGGAUAACCUCCCUGGCUCAAAUUCAUCUUCUUCUCCAUUAUACUCUAUUUCUUUCUUGUGAAACAAGCAAUCUUUCACAGUUUCCUCAAAUUUAGGGCAAACUCUUUUCGUCUCCUCCACUAAAACACACUUCUUGAUCACUUCCUUUGGCUCAACAAGUAAGAAACCUUGGUCAAAACAAGCCGGUUCCACCACCACCCUUGUCUUCUUCUUCUUAAUCUUAUUCUUUUUCUCUCGCAUCAUUCUCAAUCUACCUCCUCGACGAGUCUUGAAAUCAUGACUCCUCCCGAGGUUAGGACGAGUCGAGGUAAAGUAAACGGCUAAGAGAACGACGUUGAGUAUAAGAAACACCAACGAACGCCAUUGCUCGAUCAAAUACGAUACAGAAGAGAAGUGUUUAAGACAAGCCAUUGAAAGAACAACAACUGCAGUCAACAAUGAAGUACACAUGUUCUCUUCCUCCACUCUAAUGUCUCUCUUCAUCUCCAUUGUUCUCUCUAUAUCUCUCUACUUUGCUCUGUUUCUUUUCUCCUUCCUCCGAUCGAUUCUUAUACGAAAUUUCAAGAUUCGUAAAACAAAUAUUUGGUGGGUCCGAUUGUGGAAGACCAAAUGGCGAACAGAAAGAACAAAAUGAAAAUGAAAAGACAUGAGAAGGAGAAGGAAGAAGAAGGUGGAGGAGACAAAGAACAAGCAUGCCCUUCAAAUCUGCUCUUAUUCUAGACAUAUUAUUAUUACUUUCUUCUCAGGCUUUUUCUCAUUUCCUUUGUUUCUUAUGUUUUUCUGCUUUUCUUGUUCCCUUUGUUUUCUCUUGGGGACCAUUUUCCUUAAACCAAUCAUUUUCAACUUCCACUAUAUGCAAAUUUAGUUUCAAUUUUUUUUUCAAUCUUAGUUUCCGGAAUAAAAAUAAUUUUAAAUAAAUUCUUCUAUUGCUUGUGGAUCGCUUCUUGCAAUGUUUACCAAAUGUUACGGCCACGGAUGCGGACACCCAUAGUUUGGUCUAGUUUGGUCUAGUUUGGUCUGUUGUUGUCUUGUUGACAUAGACCGAUCAAUUUAUAGCCCACAAAAAUAUUAUCCAUGCGGACGGAUCUAUUUAGGUAUGUUUAAAUACGUUUUACAGCUCUACUAAAAUACGCAAAUAUAAUGGCCAAAUAAUAUCAAUUGGGUUAUUGUUUUUUAGGGGAACAAAAAAAUUGAGAGAAGUGUUAGCUACUCAAAGUUAAGUUCAAUGGGAACUCUCAUGCAAAGCUGAGAGGAGGGAACAUUUUUGCAGGAUGUGAAAAUGUAAUGAAAACUUAUUUUUUUGGUUGAAAAAUCGAAUAACAAUUUUUGCUAUAAAAAUAAUAAUUGAGACACAUUACACGCCUGCUCCUAUCUGUCAUGUUAAUUCUCUCAUGGUAGUGUGUGGCCCCAUGUUUGUUCUUCUUUCCCAAACACAUGCGUUAUCUGUUUUGCAAAUGUUCUAAUCCCAAAACCUCGAAAUUUCGAAUUGCAUUGAGCAACUUUUAUACAAAAUUGUUUAACAUACAUUUACUGACAACUUUUAAAAUCUAGAUUCAUACAAAAAGUUUGAAUGUUUAUAAUUUAAUAAUAGUGUGUCCUAAACUCAAGAACUUACAUUAGAAAUCGUAAUUCGAAAGUUAAAGCUAUUUGCUUCUAAUGGUAGGCUUAAGACGGCUUCCAUUCUUUUCUUUUUUCUUGUUAAAACGGCUUAUGAGUCUGUCCCUCCCAUAAAGCAGUUUUAGGGCACCAAUAUAAAGAAAAUUUUAGAACUAUUUAUUCAAAAAGUUUGCUUUGGUUAGUUGGUUAUGUAUUUCAUCACUGAGUCAUAUGUGUUUGGUUUCAUUCCUUCAUGUUACAUUUUUUGUUGUUUUGUGAAGCGGGAGUUGAUUUUUUUUUUAAUCCAUUUGUUAAUUUUUGGUCCAAUUUUUUUUUUAUUAGGUAUUACCAAUAAAAUUUCCAAAUUUUUGAUUUAACUUGGUUAUUAGGUAGUACGACACAAAAUCAUACACUUUUCUUCUUCAUUUGCAUGAGGAUUGGUUUGAUUCCGUAGUUACUUCUGCAACAUUUCACCAUCCACUUGCGGUAUAUUAGUUCUUUCCGCAAAACUAGGUGUCAAAUGCCUCAAGGUUUGGUGCCCAAUGUUGUGAUAUAUAACAAUCUAAUAAUGCAUGUUUAUGAGGAAGAACAUAUCAGCUGAAUAAAGUUUGUUUCUUUUGGAGCUCAUUAAUGAAAUGAGAAUCUCCAUAUGUCGCAAACCUACAAUAUCUUGAUACAUAGGUAUAUGGUCGUUAGAUGAUAUGUCGAUGAAGCAAAUGGUAUUUUAUACAAUGAUGUUACAUUAAGACCACUAUUACAAAAAAAAAUAAAAAAAUAAUAAACGAAAACAAACAAACAAAAAAUGGACACGAAACUUGUGAAACAAGGUACCUGAAAACUGGGUACGUUGCAAGAAUCAUGGAAGCUGCUCCUAAGAGUGCAUCUAAAUUGCUUGGAGUUUAGUAUAUUCAAGAUGGGGAAGAUCAUUACCAAACUUUUGAAUGUGAGAUCUCAAACCCGACGAAGACAAAGUCGAUCGAUGAAGGCAAGGUAUCGGCAGUAUGAUGUUUCAUUGAUCUUCUAGCUGGUUUCUUUCAAGGUCAAACAAUGGCCUUAACCUUCUUUCUACCUCGCUGCAUUGUAGAUCGAUCUCACCUGCAACCAUUGAGUAAGCAGAGUGGCAAGAUUCAUCGUCCCUGAAUGCUAAUAUCCAUCUCCCAUCUACUAGACCUUUGGACUUGAGCUUCUCAUAGACUCCUCGCUUUGUUGGAUCCAACAACGGUAAUGUAGAUGGUCGGAUUCUCAAGUGUAGCCAUCUCGGGUGCUUUUCAUCUAUUCGGGGCUGAAAAGCAAACAAAAGAUGAUAGAGAUCAUGUACUAUGUUAAUAUUUCAGGCCUUCCUGUGGAUCUUCACGGGCAUUUUCGUUAAAGAAGAAGACAGUGAAGGUGAUUACGUACUUUGCAGCCGGCUAAAGGUGCCGUUACACGGACGAUUCCAUUAUCUGGAUCAGCAAGGACAAUCCAUCCAGACUCACCGGAUGAUAAUGCUAGAAAUGAGAAAUCUCGUUCCUUGCCUCUUUCAAAGGCAAUCCUACAGGGUACAGCAUCAACUGCACCAGGAAAUUGCAAAUAUUAGAUUACCUAUGGAUACCGAGACAAAUCAAUCAAACUGGAGUUCUAAGAAAUACAAGAGAUGACAUCAUGUAAUUGGUUAGAUGGUGUAAGUAGGAGAAGUAUAAAAGCAUCAUGCGCUAACCUAGCUUCAGUUCGGUGCCAGGUUUGGGGACUGAUACAUCCAGACCAGCUCUUGUGGCACGAGAAGUUUCAGAUCGGUCGGCUGGAGGAUAAAUAGGCGGCUGCUCGGGUAAGGACCUACCGAGCGAGAAAAUUUGGAGUUGAUGAAGAAGCACGAAAACCUAUAAGGAGGAAAGGGUUGAUAAUCAAAUGUCCGUAUUCAUAUACAUAAACGACAAGCGCUGAUAGAAAUAUAAAGAGAAAACGAUUAACAUACCUUUACCACCUCGCACAUUCUUUCACCAGCUGUGAAUGAUGAUUCGCUAACAGAGUUAUCUAUAAAAGAUCUUCAGGUGUUAAUGGUUUGCAUAAAUAGGGUUUCAACAAGGAAUGUCCAUAUCAUUCACAUUUGUCAUCAGCUAAUUGCGUAGAAUGUGUAAUAAAUAUCCUACCAUUAGAAGAGGAUCUAUCCAGCUGAAGAAGAACAGAUUUAGGCUCUUUUUGAGGGGAUGGAGCUUCGAUUACUGUCAAAAGAGAAUUGGUAUCAGAAUCAUUGAACAUAUUCUUACAAACGAAAUCCAACGUAUCCAAAAUUCGCUUCUUUACUUGCCUCUUUUGCACUUUCUCCACUCAUCAAGCAGUACCCUGAUGAGUAGAUCAGGCCAGAUACCUUUAAUUUCCCUGGUAAGGGAAUUUUUGCAUUUCUCAUACGAAACCUGCGAUAAGCAGGAGGUAAAUAAUCAAGAGAGGGAGAGGGGAAAGAGAAACAGUGGCAAACCGAAAAAAACAUCUUGAAAGCAACAUACAUUCAGCAUCUUGAGAUGUUUACGAUUAAAUUCUGCCUCACUAUAAGGAAGCAAUUGGCGUAAAAGCCAUCCUCCAUCCCAUAAUGUUUCUGCAGAUAUGUUUUCUCGGCAGAGAAGAGUGACCAAUGUAUCCACCACCUACACCAUAUUUGUAAUUAAAUUAAGACAAGAACUUUUGCACUGUUAUGAAAAAGAACCAAUCUUUAGCAUUUGGAAUUUCAGAAGAAGCUAGGCUAGUAGGUCAGGUUUACAAACAUUCAUAUUUACCUGAUGUCUAUGUACACGGGGGCACCUUGCAGCCCCAGGCAAUGAACAGCACACUCCAAACUGCUCCUGUUGAAGGUACUUGAACGAAUGAGUCAAUCACAGAAUAAUACAACACCAAAGAGAUGGAGUUUAAGAGAUGCAGUGAAGUACCUCCAACCUCCGUAGAUACCAAUCAAGUUCACUACUUAAGCCAUCUCUCAUGGAACCAUUUCGCGGUGAAAAUAGUUGUUCUUCACCAGUGUCCUCCCCAACCAAAGAUUGCUGUCAGAGAUAGCUACCAAUUAAGUUUUGAAUAAUAAGGAAAAAAGGUAGUCCAUAUUUUUUGGUCCAUGCUAAUAUGCUUUAGUAGAUGGUCAAGUAAAAGGUAUUAGUAACAAAAUCCAUGCAGAUGAGACUUUCCCUGGCAAAAUUUGCUGGAAAAUAUAUUACGCACAAGAAUAAAGGAUAAUGACAGAAACUCACCAGCAAAAGUUUUUUGUGCUGCUUACGCUGAGGAAGAAUGCCAAAAGCAUCUAGCAUUGACUCUUCAAGUUCUACCAAAAUCAGAAUUUAAGACGUCAAUACCAGAAAAGGCAAGAAGAAUCUGCACAAUGACAAUGCCACUGCCAAUACCUUUUGUCUGCAGCAGAGUGGCUAGCACAAACAAGGAACCCUGAGCUUGUACAUCAUCUCCUUCAGAAAUAUAUUGAAGUAAAGUCUCCCUAUUUACAAAGAAAAAAGAAAUAAAAAAACACAUAAGCUUAAUAGUAAAAAAAAAAAAAAGGACAAUACUAAGACAGCAACUAUCCCAACUUCAUUCAAGGUCUUAUUUGCUAACACUUUACCUAAACGUCAUAUGAGAAUUGUUGAAGAUACUUUUCGGAGUAUCUUCACUGCAUAAGUGGGAAUUUCCAUCGUCACUCAUGCCUGCCGCAGUGCUUGAACACUGUUGAUUUGCCUCCUCAGUAACACCCUUGUCUGGAUGCCCAUUUACAUAUGUAAGGCCUUCAGGAGCCAAGCUGCUAUUAGGUUUCACUAGGGAACUUGAAAUGAAUGCUUUUACAGGGCAGAAAAGAGUAGCAGCAGUCAUAUUUGCCAAAUCUUUGAUUUUAACUAUCCGCAGGAUGCAUGAAAGCAGAUAAAGAGAAGUGACAGGAUCAACUGAUAUGUCCUGAAAUAACCACAAAAUCAAUACUUUAGUGAACUAAAAAUAGAACUCUGGCAAAAAGUCAAACCUAACAAGGGUAAAAAAAACAAAAUCCCAAAGGAACAAAUAAGUCAACCCUGAAAAUAAAAUUAAGAGGAAAAGGUGAUAUUUGGUACAUUUACAGCCUCGGAGCAUAAAGACGGGAGAAGAAGUGGGAGAGUUAGAUGCUGCAGAAUGUGAUCUGUUAUCAGCCUCCCGAUAUCAGGUAUGCCAGCAGAGAUAACAUCACUAAAGUAGUACAAGGUGUCCUCAAUCCCAUCAACGGCAGAAAACAAUUUUCCACCUGAAUCCGGAGAUGGGCUUCUGUAGCAAAGAUUAAAUGAAAAUCUUUCAGAAUACAAUUUAUCCAAAUCAUACACAAACAAAAUAAGUAGGUAGAUGAAAAGGGGUUGUGAUAACUUAUUAUCAAUUUUACAAGCUAUUUCCCUGGGAAAUGAAAUUGCACUGAAUCUUACUUUAGAGUGUUCAAGACCAUUGCACUUAGAUCCAUGCAUUGCUUUUGGAAAAAUGAAAUUAAUUUUGAAAAGUACUCGGUGUGCGGUGGACUAACUACAUAAUCAUUCACAGAUUCAUCGCCAACUGCAAAAAACAAAUUAAAGGCAUCAGAAAUGUUGCUAAAGGUUCUGAUUACUUUUAUCAUACAAGUGACAAAUCUAAAGAACUAUUAGAAGUGACUGACCGUGAUAUACAUUAAGAGUCAGGGCACGAACUGCAGUGCGUAUCAUGUUCUCUUCAUGAAAUGCAAAUUGUAUGCCUUCGACAUAAAGGGGGAAAGAAACUACUACAUCCUAGACGCAGAAACGCAGAAUUAAAAUAAGGCAGAAAAAUCCAUAAAGGAAUAUAAAAGUUAAAGGAACAUGAAACAACAAGAAUACUCACGUUCUCGGUCUUCAAAAGCAACGAUAUUGUAUGCUUGUUCAGCUUCCCACUAACAGCUCUACAUAAAACAAACAAAACAGUUAAAAGACACAAUCGGUAAGUACUUCCUGAAGCCAAGAUAUCAGCCGGAAAAUUUACCUUAAGAAGGAUAUGUAGUAAGAUAGAAGCUCUUCGUGUUGGAAGUCAAAUGUAUAUGUUAUCAAAUAGUUUACAUAUUCGUUACUGAACAAGUAAUCUGCAAGGAGUUUCAAAAGAAAAUCAUCAAUAGACUAUAAUCAUGAGAAUUCUCAUAGAAAAAUAUACUGCAUCUGAUAAACUCACAGAUGGCUUGUUCACUUUUUAGGUUUUGGAUCAUUAUACUCAUGGUUUGCAACAACUGGACAGAAACUGUUACUGUCUUGCUAACCCUCAAAAUACGUACAAACUCUCCCAUUACUUGUUUCUCCAUAAAAAAUCUGCAACAAUCGCAAAUAUUAACAAAUGCCAAAAGAAAAAUCCAAAGGUGGCUGACUGAUAAUUAGCAAAAAAGACUCACUCAAAGAAUAAGGGGUCAUGCUGAUCCCCAUAAGUUAAUAUCUCCGCAAUCGAUCUCAGUGCCUCGAUAACGAGAUCCUUCAAAAAUGACACCCGGUAAACAGACAUCAAAGCCUAACAAAACAACAAUGCCAAGACAAUGUCCACUAACCUUAUUAGCCUCGUUUACUAUCUGAAUCUUUCUCAGCUGGUCAGUCAAAUACCUAUAUAAAAACCAAAACUUUCAACACUUACUAUGUUUCAUCAUCAUCUGGUAUAACAACUAAUGUCGUAACACUACGAUCACAAUGAACUUUCUGAGAACAAAUCAUUCUCCUACAAUGGUCAACAUAGUCCCUUUGACCCCUGAGACUAGGGAAGAUGAACUUAUAUAGUUUCCCUACAAUGGCACCACUCAAAUCAUCAACCCUAGCAAACUACUUGCAAACUACCAAUUCAACAAACACCCUUAAAAGAAACAUUUUUCCCCCACAAUCAAAGGAUAAUCUCAGCCACAAUUCAAAUGAACCAAAAGAGAGAUAAAUCGGAAAAAAAAACUGAAACUUGUUGUAAAACCAAAGGCGAUCAAAGAAACCUGAGUUCGGCUAAGGAGAAUCGAUCUCUGGGUCUUAAGAAGGAAAGCCACAUGAUUGUUUAAAUCAAUCCUUUGGAAAGUUCCAGUCUUCUUCUCUGGAUCAUCCUUCACUCUCGAGAAAACCCAAUUUCCAUUAUUGCUUCUCGUCGAUUAAACCAAAUUCCACAAACUCUGACGAAAUCUCUGAUCCAGGGAUCAAAAUCAUACAAAAUCAAAUCGUAUAUCGAGGGGAAUAAAAAGUUCGAAUUUUUCGAAUGAUUGUUUAGAUGUUUCUUCCGGUAAAACAACAGAGAUUGAUGACGGCAAUUGCGAAUUGAAGCACCGAUGUGGGUUGAGAGCUGGCGUUGGAUUUGGAUUCGGAUUCGGAUCCGGGUCGGGUUCAAUCUCGAAUUCAAAGAAAGAAUCUUCAAUUGAAAGAUCCGUCUUUCGCAUUUAAUUUAAUUUAAGGGGAACAUUUAUUUUUCACGUUGGACCCUCUGACUAGAGAAGAGGCUUCUCGAUAAUCAAUGACUCACAACUGCCACGUCAUACACAUUAUUAUUUACAAAACUAAAUUGUUUGUUGUCAUUAUAACAUUGGUGAUUUGCAGAAAUGACCAUGUUUGAUAAUUUAUUUAAGAAUAUAGCAUUUUAAUAUAUAAAACUAAGUAAAUAACACUAGAGAGGGAUGAAAAGUUAAGUAACUCCUCAUUAAAACAUGAGAACACGCGCGUGAAAAGAGAAGAAGAGUGACGUGAUCCUUGACACUCUUUUCGGUUUAUGGACAUAAAUAAAAGAGAAAAGUGUUGGCUAGCGUGAUGGUGGCGAAGAUGGCGAUGAUGGUAAUAGUAACAAUGACAGUACCGAUGGUGAUGGUGACGACAACAGUGGCGGUGCCGAUGGUAAUAGUGAUGAUAACAGCGACGGUGCCGAUGGCGAUAGUAAGACAACAGUGGCGGUGCCGGUGGCGAUGGUGACGACAACAGUGGCGGUACCGGUGGUGAUGGUGACGGCAACAAUGGCGGUGUCAGUGGCGAUGGUGACUACAAUGGCGGUGCCGGUGACGAAAAGAUAAUUACAAAUAUAUAUUGAUUUAAGAAAACUAAACCCUAAGAUACUAUACAUGGAACCCAAACAAAAAUCAUUAAACGAAAUGAAAUCAUCUCAAGUUUCAAUUUUCAAAAAUCUAGCAGCAAAAUAGAAUAGUACAAUGGUGAUGAUAGCUUCGGUGACGAUUUUCCGGUGAUGAUGACUCCGGUGACGAUUUUCCGGCGAUGGUGGCUUCGGAUACGAUUUUCCGGCGAUAAUGGCUUUAAAAGUAGUGGUGGUUGUGGUGGUUGUGGAAGAAAAGAAGAAAGAAGAGAGAAGAUGUUCAUGCAGAAGAAAGAAGAAGAAGAGGAUAUAAUUGUAUUUAUUACAUAUAAUAUACACAAUAUCACCUUAUGGUUUUUGAAGUGUUAGUUUCCAAAUUAUUAAAUUUUUUUAGGUUAUACUUGCAAAUUUCCCUUAUAAUAUUUACAAAUGGCAAAAAAAUGAUUGGAAUGACUCAGAACUCUAUCAAAAACGUUUACUUAGAUUUAAACUAGCUAGUAGUAUAAAGAAGACCACUCUAUUUGUUUAUUUCCUAGUAAAGUAACGAAUUAUUUCUUCUUGAGAUUCUCCCACAAUUGUGUGCCAACAUCAAACAAAACAAUACAAAAGUUUAUAAAGGCAUGACUAAAAAUGUUAUGAAGUUUUGACCAUUGUAUUUCACAUCAUGAAGUUUUCUUGUUAAGCUUGUUUUAGUUAAGUAUUUCAUGUAUUAUUUCUCACCACGAUACAUCUAAUCUGACGUACUGAAUUUCAAAACUUUUGAUUUGUAGCAUUUUAUCUAAUAAAUUACAAGUUAAUUCUACAAAAAUUGAAACCCAUUCCAUCGAAUGCGUGGUUUAAGUCCCAAAUUUUUAUCUUCUAGAUUUUUAAAAUUUUUAAUUUUAAACAAAAUUAAAAUAAAAAACGAUUUUACAAGAGAAAGUUUUUGCCUUUUCGAGAAGAACCGCAACCUUCCCACAAUCUAGAAAUCAAUCUCCACUUCUCAACAAUGGAACAAAAAUCUUUUAUAUCUCUCGAAUUCAACAAUGGAACAAAAAGCUUUCCUUAAAACAAAAUUUUUUUAUGUCAAACCAUACGAGCACAAAAGACAGAUAAGUCUUUUGUUAUUCUAUAUUUGAUUUGAGCCAGAAGGAAUAUCUUUGCCAAAACGACCAAAGGCAAAGCCCAUUUUGUGAUUGCCAAGAGCAACUUAUCAGUAAAAGGUUAAAACAUAGUCAAAUUAAACCGGUAAGUGUUGGACUUUGGAAUCCAAGAUAAUUACCAAGAGAACCAAGGAUUCCACCAAAUAAAAAUAUAUCUAUUGUUGUAGUUUAGUAUACAAAUAAAUAUUUUAUUAAAAUAAUACUAAAUUAGUAACUAAUUUCAUUUAUCACCAAAGUGAUUACAAUAGAAUAAUCUAUAACUUUUUGAGUGCAUCUAUAAAAAAUGUCACUUAAGUAAUAGCCACAAUCCAUUAGUAUAAAUUUUCGUUUGUUGAAAAACGAAGGCCACUAGGGUGAAAGAUGAUUAUGCUAAGGUAUAUUCACAUCAAAAUAUAUGGUGGUUCUAUCAUUUUCAUUGUAGUUGUGUUCGUAUAUAGGUUAGGUUAGUUAAAAACUAUUUAAACUUUGUCAUGAAUAUUCCUAUAUAAAAGUGCAUAUUUGACCAUACCAAACCCAUACAUACCUAACCGGCUAAACCCCAUUUGCUCUAACAAAAGGUCUACGGUGACAACACCACACGCACGCAUAUGCAAUAAUAGUAUUAACUAUUAAGUAUAUGAAAUACAUAUGAAUAUAUGCUUCUUCUUUUUUUGUUAACUAGGGAAAAUCUAGAAAUCUAGACCAAUGCCUAAACUAAUUUUCGAAAUACAGAAAUCGAAUUUUCUUUCCACUAGAAACGUUUACGGGUGGCUAAUCUGUGACUGUGAGACAUAUACAUUUCUCAUGAUAUGUUGAUAUUAAGUGAGGUUGAGGCUGUGUCAAAAAAAAAAGAAAAAAAAAAGUGAGGUUGAGGUUUUGAAUCUAAGCAAAGAAAGAUCAUACACAAACUCCAUUGAGAUGCAAAUUUAUCUCUCCUAAUCCACUUAGAUCAUCCUCAAGGACGUAUACAUAAUGUAUUAUGAAUUAGAUAUUUCACCUUCGUGUCCACUACACUUCAUUGGUAACAAAUACUCUCUCUGAAUUUGAGGUUUUGAGUUUUGCACAUCUAUUAAGAAAAAGUAAAUUUUAUAUUUUUAGUUAUUAUUUUGUUAGUUUAAUAAUAUUAUUAUUAUUUAUCUCAUUCUUUUAUUGGUCACAAACUAAAUUAAUGAUGAUACUUUUACAGAACAUUAAUCUUAAUGGAAUAAAUUAAAAAUUCAAAACAUUAAAUUUCUUGGAACAGAUGGAGUAUAUCAUUAGGACUAAUGAUUGCAGAUAGUGUGUAAUCCAACUAUAUCAUUUGGACUAAUAAUUGCAACUAGUGUUUUAAGAAGAAUAAGUUCUAGCUAGUAAUUAUAAAUGACGUUUAUCGAGAUAUCUUGGAUAAUGGAAUUAAACUUUUAAGCGUCUUCCUUGUAUCCAAUGAAUUUUUAUAAUUUUAUCAAAUUAAACAUGCCAGUUUUAAUGCUAUUGUCAUCUUGUUGUUAUAAAAAUAUCACACUCCAAAAAGAUUGUAAGAAUCCUUAAAUAUCAAAAUUAACCAAUAAAAAUAACUACCAUCAUGGUUGACAGAAAAAAAAUUUAACUACCACUCGGUUCACAACAAGCAUAUGAUUUACUGCAAAAGCUCACCAUAAUAUAUAUGAAUCGUUUCCGUGACUUUUUCCAAAACAAUAUAAAGACGGUCGUAAAACUUUAUCAUCUGCGUAAAUUGUUGUAACAAAGUUUUUUUAAUUGUUUCUAUUUAUGUGAUUUUCUAAUUUUAGAUCUAUUAUAUUUAUCAAAACUUUAGGGUUUUAUAUGUUUAUUUUUGGGUUUUUUGAGUUAUGAGUCCAUGAGUUUGCUCAAUUUGAGCUUAAUACUGAAAACACGGUUCUGUAGAAUCGAAAAAACAAAUUCGGAUAAAGGAUAUAUCACAUAAUAUUUGUUUCGUUUUUCGUUGUUUUGUCGACGGAUCAUGGAAAGGAAAUGACAAGUUUUAUGGAUAAGAGUGAUUUUGCACCUUAUUAAAUAGGAAGUCGCUAACCAUGGGAGUUGCUAAUUUGCGUAGAAGUCUAUCUCCACUACAUAAAGAAGUCGAAGCUGUACUCUGGAUGAUGAAGUGUAUGAUUGGUGCCGACAACCAAAAAAUAACUUUUUUUACAGACUGUUCAGACUUGGUGAAGAUGGUGUUUUCUCCAACCGAAUGAUUAGCAUUUUCAAUAUAUGUGGAAGAGUUCUAGAGCGACAAGGAAAAAUUCACAAGUUUCCCUAUAUUUUUAAAUUCUCGAACUGCAAAUGUUAUAGCGGACAAUUUGAUAAGAAAAAUUCAUACUGAACCGUUACAUAUUACAUAUGGAAAUAAUUUAUUUAAAAAUUGGCUUUUCUAACUUUUAAAAAAAAAUUUGAUGAUAAAAAAAAAAGUUACAAAUCCGAAAUUAAUUAUGAAGAAAAAGAAAAGAGUCCGAAAAUAAUCAACAUAAUGUUUAUGUAAAAUGAUCUAUCUAUAAGAUAAGUCAACUUAAGGUAAAAAAACAAAUUAUAUUUCAAAUCGAACAAACUAGUCGAAUAAAAAAGAAAUUCAACUACAAAAAAGACUAGACAAUGAUGGAAUUUUGUUAUAAUUUGCUUUGAAAACUUUACUUAAAAAUUACUAUAAUAAUAAUAAUAAUUAAAAAAUGACAUCAAAGUCGACGACUACUCUAUAAUCCUUGCGACGACCGUUCAACACGUCUGACUUACAUAUUGUCUCUCUGCAACUUUUCAUUGGCAGAUACACAAAAUCUUUAAUUCUUAAUCCAAACCCAGAAACAACCUCUGAAACCACUUCAUCAUCCAUGAAAGAGAUCGGCUCAAAACCAAGAAAGUUACUUCCUUUAUGCUUCAUCAUCUUCCUCUGUUUUUGUUCCUCUGUUAUGGCUGCAGAUGAAGACGACAUAAGAUGCUUAAGAGGACUCAAAGCAUCUCUCACAGAUCCUCAAAACGCGUUGAAAUCAUGGAACUUCGACAACACAACUCUUGGGUUUCUCUGUAACUUCGUUGGUGUGUCUUGUUGGAACAAUCAGGAGAAUAGGGUUAUCAAUCUUGAGCUUCGUGAUAUGGGUUUAUCUGGUAAAAUCCCAGAUUCUCUUCAAUACUGUGCGAGUUUACAAAAACUUGAUCUUUCUAGUAAUCGAUUGUCUGGUAAUAUCCCUACAGAGUUGUGUAAUUGGUUACCUUUUUUGGUAUCUCUUGAUUUGUCAAACAAUGAAUUGAAUGGUGAGAUUCCUCCUGAUUUAGCUAAGUGUAGCUUUGUGAAUUCUUUGGUUUUGUCUGAUAACCGGCUUUCGGGUCAAAUCCCGGUUCAGUUCUCGGCUUUAGGGAGGUUAGGGAGGUUCUCUGUUGCUAAUAAUGAUCUCUCAGGUCGCAUUCCUGUGUUCUUUAGCUCACCGAGUUAUUCCUCUGAUGAUUUUAGUGGGAAUAAAGGUCUUUGUGGUCGUCCUUUAUCUUCGAGUUGUGGUGGUUUAAGUAAGAAGAAUCUUGGGAUAAUAAUUGCAGCUGGUGUGUUUGGUGCUGCUGCAUCAAUGUUGUUAGCUUUUGGGAUUUGGUGGUAUUAUCAUUUGAAGUGGACAAGGAGACGAAGAAGCGGUUUAACCGAAGUAGGAGUUAGCGGUUUAGCGCAGAGACUUCGUAGUCAUAAGCUUACUCAAGUGUCUUUGUUUCAGAAGCCUUUGGUUAAAGUUAAACUUGGGGAUUUGAUGGCUGCAACUAAUAACUUCAACUCAGAGAACAUUAUUGUUUCCACUAGGACUGGGACUACCUAUAAGGCGCUUCUUCCGGAUGGUUCAGCGCUUGCGGUGAAGCAUUUGAGUACGUGUAAGCUCGGGGAAAGGGAGUUUCGGUAUGAGAUGAAUCAGCUAUGGGAGCUUCGUCAUUCUAACUUAGCACCGCUUCUUGGUUUCUGCGUUGUGGAAGAAGAGAAGUUUCUUGUUUACAAGUAUAUGUCUAAUGGGACACUUCACUCGUUGUUGGAUUCAAAUAGGGGUGAAUUAGAUUGGUCGACUCGGUUUAGGAUUGGUUUAGGUGCUGCAAGAGGUUUAGCUUGGCUUCACCAUGGAUGUCGACCUCCAAUUCUACACCAAAACAUUUGUUCAAGUGUGAUUCUCAUUGACGAGGAUUUCGAUGCAAGGAUAAUAGAUUCAGGGCUUGCAAGGCUUAUGGUUCCCUCGGAUAACAAUGAGAGUAGUUUCAUGACUGGUGACUUAGGAGAGUUUGGUUAUGUAGCUCCUGAAUAUUCUACCACAAUGCUAGCAUCAUUAAAAGGUGAUGUAUAUGGACUCGGUGUUGUCCUCUUGGAGUUGGCUACAGGGCUAAAAGCUGUAGGAGGUGAAGGUUUUAAAGGGAGUUUGGUGGAUUGGGUGAAACAGCUUGAAAGCUCAGGUAGAAUCGCUGAGACAUUCGAUGAAAACAUUCGAGGGAAAGGACAUGACGAAGAGAUCUCGAAAUUUGUUGAGAUUGCUCUUAACUGUGUGAGUUCAAGACCUAAAGAGAGAUGGUCAAUGUUUCAGGCAUACCAGUCACUGAAAGCUAUUGCUGAGAAACAAGGCUAUUCGUUCUCCGAACAAGACGACGACUUCCCUUUGAUUUUCGACACGCAAGAGAACGAGAAAGUGUGAAAAUGAACCUUUUAUGAUACGAGGAGGAAGUAAGAGUAUAAUUAUUUGUUGUCUAUAUCAUCUUGUACUACUUGUAGAGACACUAUAUGUUAUUGUAAAAACAGAAAUGUAUAUGUUAUUUGUUUUCUCUUGUGUCAAAGUCUUUAGACAUGUUAUGUGUUGCAAGUGUGUCUUUCUAUAGUAUUGGAAGAGUGACAAAAUAAUUUUUUCACUUGUAUUUUCUUUUAAGAACAAAAAGAAAGUGAACAACAGGAUAAAGAAGAUGUCUCUGCAGAAUCUUACUUUAGGGGUCUGCUUCUCGAUACAGUCAAAAUCAAUCCCAGAAAAGAAGCUAAAGAAGGCAAGAAAGAAAGAGAAAGACAAGUUUUUAGCAUCUAUGGUCACUCACUCCUUUUGAAUUUCACUUUGUAAGAUGCUAUCAAAAUUACACAGAGAAUAUAAGAUUCCCAAAGUUCACAAGAACCCAAAAAUGAAAAUGUAUGUGAUUCUAAAGUUGUGCAAGGACAAGCCUUGUAUUAAGAUGCAAAUAUCAUUGGAGUGGGAGAAUGAUUUUUGAAAAUGGAGCAACUUUAGUUUAAUGGUUUUUUGCUUUAGCCAGAGGAAACAUAAAAAAGCAAACUUUAAAGUUAACAGAUUCUAAAACAAAAGGCAAAUAAAGAAAGAUGAGGAAAACAGGAAACAGAGAGUUAGAUAAAGACAUAAGCCUAUAAUAACUAAAUACAAAUGUUAUUACAAAAACUCUUAAGAAGUCUUUAAUAUCUUAGCAACAAUCUUCUGAAUGAUUUUCAAUCUUUAGACACAAUGUUCCAAAACGAAAGAGAGAGCAGAGACUUCACCUUCCAAAAUUCUACAGAGCAAGACUUCACAAAGCUAUGAGUUCAUAGCAUAUCUCUAACAUCUGAAGUUAAUGAUUGCCUCAGAAAAAAUAGUAGCUUCUUGACGUGGAAACGUAAUUGAGAGGUUGAAUACUUCACUGUGUCUUGAGACGGUAGAAAAACCCGAAAAUGAACGAAGCCCGCAUGACAUAAACAUUACAGUCAAUAUCAUACUCUUGGUGGCCGUCUCGAAGUUUCUGCUUUCCUGAAGAAAUAGAUUUGAAACAAAAGCUUAUUAAAGUAGAGUUCUUUCUGCAGUAAUAAACUUUAACUAAAGUGGUCAAAGUUCUUCACAAGUGCCUUUAAUUCUUCUCUAAGGCUUUAAAAUUAGAUAAAGAAGAAGCUUUUACUAAAACAUGAUAACAUUGUCUGCUUUCAAAAGACGAGCUCUUUAAUGUACACAAAAUGUAUAGUGACACUGAAAAGAAGGAAAGAACAAGAAUUCUGCAUGCUAAUAAUCUUUUUAGAAACCAGUGAUUAUCGGUAUCUGUGUAUACAGUGACAACAAAAAAACUUGAACAGAGGAAACACUAAUAUUGGAUGAUUAGUUUUUGUAUAAACGAACUUUAAACAAACUUCAUGACAAAGUUCUCAAAACGCUUGAUCUCUGGUAGCAAACUCAAAGAAGCAAAAGUAAAAGAUUGAAAAUUCGAGAGAGAAGGGAUAAGAACCUGUUGUGGAUAGGAUCAGGUCCAUUAGGAACUUUUCGCUUGCUUACAUGAAACAGAUUCACAUCCUUACCACUAAACCGCAAAGUCUUGACAUUUUCUGAUGAUGGAACACUUGGUGCAGAGUUUGCUAAGAUACCGACAAGAAGAAACACAAUCAAACCCAAAGAUGCAAUCACUCCAACCAAAGCUCUAAUGCCAUUUCCACCCAUACUGAAACCUAUGUCCCUACAGCUUCCUGUUUAACAUAAACAACUGACCAACCAAACCCAAGAAUAAACUGAGCAGAACAUCCAUGAUGUUGGUGAAGUGACUGUCACAUAAAUAGAGAGAGAUAUCUUUGGACAGAAGAGGCUCAAAAAAGGGGAAAGCGAAAUGGGAAGCAAAAAACAAGCAUUUAGGUUGUUUUUAUAUACCUUGGAAGACAAAUCCGUGAUUGGCCCUAUUUAAAGAUGAAGCAACACAAAGCAACAAUAUACAUACGUAGGUGUCCACGUAGAGAGAGAGAGAGGAGGCAAGAGCAAGUGAAAGUUAAGAAAAAACAUAUCUUUAUGUAACAUAUGGGCCCGUUGAGUACCUUUUUCUUUGCUUUGAUUUGUGAAUUUUCAUGCAGCAAACCAUUGGGGACCUCACAAGCUCCCUUAACUACAUAUAUUUUAAGCCAUUUUAAAAGCAGAGGACAGUGUACCUUUUGUGACUGAGUGUAUUAGCAAGCCUACUACUUUCCUUACCACUAUCUUAAAUCACUUGGAUGUUUCCUUUAAACAAUAACAAAAUCAAUUAAGAAUGUAACAAUACACAAGUAAGAUAACCAAACCUGUGAAAAGGAGCUAGAGCCUACAAUUUUUCUUCCUUGUUAAGUAUUCCCUCCCUACCAAAAGCCAAUUAGCAGCAAGAAAUGUAUGCUUGUUCUUCAUAACCUUUAAACGAUAAACUAAAGCAAAAACAUUAAGAAACAUAUCUAAACUGUGAAAAAAAAAGAAUCUAUAUCUGAUUGACAGCUAGGGAAGAUUGAGCCAGUUUGUUUCCAUGACACAAGCAAACUUCCUUUUGGCCUUGGUGGGAAAGAAAAGCUUGCCUUCUAACAUAGUAAAGCCAAAGUUUGAACAGAUCUGGCCCCACAAUUUCAUUACUAUAUAUCAGUUUCUCCUAUAUCAUUUAGAAUCUUACACAUGGUCAGGAUAGUGUCCUUAUAGCAUUGAUUCUCACAGUGAUUGUGUGAGCAAAGCCAUGCCAGUAUUGCACUCUAGAGGUGUCAAGUUACAUGCUCUACUGAAGUGUUAUGCACCAAAGUAAAUUAAAUUAGAAAUAAAGAAAGAAUGAUUUAACACAUACCUCAGUUACGUCACUUUCGGUAUGGUUUUCUUUAAUACGAAGUGAUUCUUACGAUUGUUACGGAUGUAUAUGAUACAUAGAUAUAGAAACAAUGAGUAGCAUGGUGGCUCUCUCAGACCUUAAGAGCAUCAAAAGAGGCCAUAUGUAAUAGUAAAAAGGAGAAACUCUAACUGACUUCAUAUCUCAAACUGUAUACAGAUUACAGCUAUAUCUCUACUUCACAGACACACACAAGCCGACAUACACCAUUACCGAUUUUAGAACUAUCAUAAGACUGCAACUUGUAUCCAGCUUUAGUAUUUGGCUACAAACAAAAUGGCGACUGACGGACAAAAGCACCUGCAAAAAUUUAAACUGAGGAACUAAGAAUAUGUGACAUGAAGAAACAGAACUGAAAACAAAAUGAUCAUGUAUCACAUGACAGAAGUAAAUGCUCCUAGUCAAAGCUUUUGAAAUGUAACAGCCAGAGGAGUAGUGAAUAUAUAUACUCAUUUACACUGGAAACACUUACACUAGUAUUCAAAGGUUAGAAGGAACUAGCUCUUCAGUCACAGUCUCUCUUCAUUGCCUUAAACCGAAAAAAAUGGCCAGAUAUAACUGUCGACAAUCACUGUGGCUUUAAGAUUUUCUUGGCUUCUGAGCCCAUUUUGGUCCAUAUAUAGCUAGAUGUGUCCGGCCAAACCUUCUAUCAGUCAUCUAUGAGAAAAAAUUUCCCAUCAACAUUCAUACAACCCCAUUCAUCAAACAAGUAAUAAAAGGGAAGUAAUUACCUUUUCAAGGCAUCCACAUGAAUCAAGCAUUGUUGUUCGUGAUGGGUACUCGACCAACUAGGUCAGAUUUUGUCCAAAAGAGGACGAGUAUUACACAUUGACCCAAAAUCCUUAUAAGAUGGUUUAAAAAGGGAAAUAUAUAGCUACUCACAAUAAAAGUAUUUUCCCCAAUCGCUGGUGACUUAGCAAUCUGAUCCAUCAGAACCUCAUAAUCAACCUCCAUGUAAGGUGGCGUAACGCUGAUAUAAUCAAACACUCCAUCCUUACCUGAUAGUAAAGAAAAGUCUUAAUAUAGGUUCUAUUUAAAGCUGAAGUUAAGUGGUGAAAUUGACAAUAACAUCUUCAAGACUAGACAUACCUACUAAUUUAUCAGCACGUUCCAGGAAGUUUUCAACUCGAGCAGUGUGUAUAACCGAAGCAUCAACAAACCCAGUGUGUUCCAAGUUUGGUUGUAGAACAUUUGAAACAACCCAAGGAUCCAUCUCAACAAAAUGUGCCUGUUGAGAAAUAAUUCAAGUCCAAGAUGGAAACACAUGUUUAGUGAUCACUUAAAGUAAAAGAGAAUCCAACAAAGAUCAUACAAUCACAGUUCUUUAUUUCUUUGCUACCUCAGAACAUCCUCGACUGAUUGCUUCAAUCCCAACAGACCCUGUACCACUAUACAAAUCCAACCACCUACCAGGACGCAGAGACGUUGGACAACCACCAGCAGCCUAAAUAAUGAGAAGAAUCAUGUUAACUCAGACACCAACAAACGCAGAAGCUCCUAAAAUUAGUUACUCUUACCUGGAGAAUUCCAAAAGCUGCUCCUUUAACAACUUCCAUCAUAGGUCUCACAUCCAUUCCCUUAAGAGAAAGCAAUUUCUUUCGUUUCGCCGUUCCUGCAAGAACCUAAAACAAUCUACACAUUAUAGAUAUCCAACAACAGUAACCCCCAAAGCAAAACACAAUAAAAUAAGCAAAUACACACCUGCAGUAACCUAUGAGUUGUUCUUGGCUGUACAACAACAACUUCUUCUACUUGUUGACUAUUCCUUCCACUCAUUUUCUCUUCUUUCCUUCUCGCCUUCUACAAUGAGAACUAAAAGUUUCAUCUCUCAACUAUUCAUCACAAACCAAAAAAAAACAAUUAUGGAAAAAAAAAACAGACCUUAGAUUGAGACCCAAAGUCAUCAUUAGCAUCAUAACCAUAUCGUUCCAGCAACAAUUUCUUAUCCUCACUUGCCAAACCAGUUCCUGAAUCUGAAAACCCACAAGACAUAAACUGAGAAAAGACAGAACUUUAUGAAUGAUUCUGUGAAAGAUGCAAAAUUUCACACUUUUACGACUCGAGACGACGAAUGUUCGAACACGCAGUGGAGUAGAACCCUUAAAGAGAUGAAUUUGAGGGAAAGAAGAAUACGAAACACCCAGAUUCUUAUUCAUGUCAAUGUUGAUUCCUAGUGGAGAGAAAGAUGACAACAAAACCGCCAUUGCUGAUAAAGUUUUCGACUUUGGGAGCUUGCAGAGAGAAAUCGUCUGCAGAGAAGACGAAUGAUAGAAAUAGAGUUAAAACCUUCUUCCAGAGCCAGAGGAUCUAUUUCUGUAUCAAAAGGUGUUUAAUUUUGAGCUUUGUAUUUCAAGAGACUUGGUUACUACUUAAGUACUAAGUAAGUACUAAUAAGAGAAGAGAUAUAACUUAUUGAAAAAACAUAGUUCUUGAAAAUCAUAAACCAGUUACAAGAGAAGUAACAACAAUAGGGAAAAGAAGGGAUCUAAUAAUCGAAAUCAUUCAAGAGUUGAGGAAACUGUGACAACAUCUCUUGGUCUUUAUCUAGUAUUUCGUCAACGAAGGAACUCGCGGAAUGACAUGUUCCCGAGGCCUUUGAAUCGAUGUUUUGAGAGAUGUAUUCGGCUUCGAUGUUGAAAUGAUGUUCGUUCUGCGUAAAAGUGAGGUCGCUAGUAGCUGAGGAUCCCACUACUUGAGGAACCGGGUCCGAGAGAAGGAAAUCGCUCCAGUAGAAGUUAGUAACCGGUGUUUGAGGUACUUGGUUUGGCUGAGUGAUACUAGUAGAAGAUGAUGAGGAAGAGCAUGAAGAUGUGGUUCCAUUGAGCAGAUGAUUUGGAUGGCUAUAGAAAUGAAAUGGAGUAGUUUGGUACUCAGAGGAAUUUGUAAACAUCAUUGGAGAGUUGGUGUAAUAACUCUCAUGGUUUGUUGUUGUGUUUCUCAUCAUUUCCCAAGCUGAGUUGGAUUGUGUGAGUAUAGAGUUGUUAGAUGGUUCUGUUUUGAAGGAUGCAUUUCCAUGGCCGCUAAUGUUUCUGAAUUCUGCAAGGAGUUGAGAAACCGGUUUAUGAGUCACCGGGUCUAUCCCCAUUUUCAUCAGCUUCUUCUUCAGCUUUGUGUUCCAGUGAUUCUUCACAUCAUUAUCCGUUCUUCCUGGAAGCUUUCGUGCAAUGGAAGACCACCUGAAAACAUCAGAGGUUACAAUUAUUACUAAUGAGAUAAAAAGUUUGAUAGAUUCUUGUCAUUGUUAAAAAGUUAGUUAGCAAUUAGGUUGCUUCAUUACCUGCUGCCAAUGGCUCUAUGACACUCAAUGAUAAGCUCUUCUUCUUGGGUAGAGAAGCUGUCAUGUUUAAGGUCAGGUCUUAAGUAAUUAGUCCAUCUUAGUCUACAGCUCUUUCCACAUCGAUUCAGACCUGCGCCGAAGAACGAAAAAUAACUCAGACUUGUUUGAAAUGAGAUUUCUUAAGAGUUAAGAGAAAUGAGAGAGUUUUUUUUUGGAAAAACCUGCUUUUUUGGGGAUCAAGCUCCAGUUUCCUACACCAUGGAUAGCAACAUAAGCAAGGAUCUUAGCGUCUUCUUCCUCGGUCCAGAGACCUUUCUUGACAUUGGACUUGUCACAACAAGGAGGUCUUCCCAUUUUUUGGUAUUCAAACACAAGAGAGAAGAUGAAGAAGAAGAAGAAGCUGAGAAAUGUCUGAAAGGACAACAACAAAGGCUUUAUGGAAAUAGAGUGAUGCAAUGCAAAAGCUCUGAGAGAGAAAGAGAGAGAAGGUGAGGAUCUCAUGCUUGAAGGCUCCUAAUUAACGGUAAUUGCAUGAUUGUUACACUUCAUUAGAAAUAUAGAGUCUCGAAGUGCAUGACGUAGUUUUGGCAACUAUCAUCUCAUGUACACUACUACUGAUUGUAUAAUACUUAAUUCAGUUAUCAUGUAUCGCUUGCUUCAGGUUGAUGAUAACAUAAACCGACUUUUAUUAAGUUUUGGUCUAGUUAUGAACCAUAAGGAACAUAACUUGCACAUGAAACCAGUAACAUAGAAUCAGAAUUAUUUUUUUAGUAUAUAGUUCUAAAUUUUUCAUUCUAUUGACGAUAUGUUUAUCUACCCGAAUGGCGAAAACCCGGUUUUUCGCUAUACAAAAAUUUUGAUCCUUUAAUAAGAGCUUUGAUUUUACUUGUUGUUCUUAAGAUGAGCAAGCUUUGCAACUCUUUCUGCAAUAUCCAUGGUCUUUGUCUGAACCAACCAUGUAUGUUGGAUUCUUCUGGCAUUCCCCUGCCUUUGCCCAUUUUUCGCAGCUCACAUUCUCGUCCAUACAUCCAGAUUGCUUAUUAAACGCUCUUUCGAAUGACUUAACGUGAAUCCAUCUGGUUGCUGACCAUUUCUCUCCCUCAACCACUGGACAGCUUCCAUGUAAGCUAUUUGAAUCUGUGGUUGCAUUUGGGUGAAGAUUGAAGAACAGUAAUGCAUCCCCUUUCCUCGGUUUCACUGCAAAGAUACAUAAAUCAGAUAGAGCAAUAUACCAUUUGGAAAAAUAGUUAUACCUUUCAUUAUCAUUUAAUCAAACUACUACAAUCCCCAUUUGUGUUGAGCUUUCACAAUUAAGCCAAACGCAUGUUCAGGAUACAGUAUUCUAUAUCAAGCAAGCUAUAUACAGUGAUCUUACCUGCAUAGCCUUGUUUUGCACAUUCGGUCCAGCUAUCGUCUUUCAACUGAGUUGCUUUACCCUACAAGAAUGUGUGAUCAAACUGAAAUGAGGCUACUCAGGAAACGAAAUCGAAAUAUUAGAUGAAAAUUUAAGGAACCAGAAGUAAUAUAUGUCUUUACCUUCCACAUGGGAAACACUGUUUCUCCUCCCUUUUCAACAUUGGACAAGUACAUCAAUACUGUGGCAAUCCGAUGACCACCGAGCUCUAGAUUAGCCUGGUCGUGAAAGUAGUCAAAAUGCGGUUCAUACUUUUGACCAUUCUCAUAAUGCAAUAUUUGCAUGGAUUCACCAUUCUCUGAUCCGCAACACAGACAAAAAAGAGAUGAGAAGUUGUAAGCAACUAAAGUCUAAACAAAGAGACAGAAUUAGGAAAUCUAUGUACAUAUGGCCAAAAAUACCUUCGGGAAGAAAGGUCCACGCAGCAAGUUUUGCCUCCACAUUACUUACUAUAUCAUCCUACACAUACAUAGAACCAUACCAUUCAAACUCAAAGGUUAACAAUCAGUGAAUCACACAAUCUCUAGACUAUCCAUAUUUGCAAUGAAGCUGCUACUUUGUCUAACCACAGAAACAGAAUCCUACAGUAUUGCAGGAAAUGCAUGUUUACUUGGUCAAGCGUUGAUCAGUAACAUAGAACUAGUCUGCCUAAUUGCUGAAGUAAUCUAACGGAGUACAACGCACACAAAAGCCACAUUAGACCUCAUAAUAACAAUCAUUCUCCAAUGAUUAGCACGAAACUCAACAUCCAAAUCAAUCCAGAUACAAAACCACCGCUUCUAACAAGUCAUUGCAAAGUUCUACGAUAUAGCCAACAUAAAUUUCUAUAGAUGCCUACAUGUUCAGAAUAUUAACUAACCUGUCGUUUGGAGAGAAACAUUCCAGAACUAGUGCGUACUUCACUCUCAACACUCUCACCAGAAUCAUUAUCAGCCACCAUUGACUUCUCAAGCUUCCCUUUCGCCUAAAAAAACAAAUAUCACAAUCACAAAAACAUUCUUUCAUCAUCAUCAUCAUCACUACUUAAAAAGCUUAAGUAAAGAUGUUUAAGAUUCAAUACCAAUUUGAUAAAAUGAUCACAUUCCUCAUCAGAAAGAAACCCUUCAUACAAAAAAACUCUGCAAAAAAAAAAAACACAAAAAAAUCAAAUAAACAAAAACAAAGAUUCAAAAUUUCAGAUAACAAACACAAAAGCAAACAAACCUAGGAGUCCAAGAGAGUUGAGUGACACGAGUUGGAUCAAACCCAAAAGAAGAAGCACUUGUUUUCAUCUUUAUCACUGACCCAUCUCUGCAAAAGAUUAAAUUUCUCAGUCAAAACCAAAAAAAAUCGAAGAACAGAAUUCGAAUCCAUCUCAAAUCAUCACAAUCUAACCUAGUGUUACUCGAUCUAGUGAGGAAGCGGUUAGGUGCAGAUGAAAUUAGAGGGAGAGUGAAGAGAAAACAGAGGGAAAAUGCGAGAAAAAUCCGAGAAUCCAUUUUCGUGAGAAAGACUUGUUGUUGGUGCGAAGAAGACCAAGACGAUGAAUUGUAUUAAUGCUCUACUCAGAAUUGACCCAAGAAUGUUUCUUCUUAUCAAUUUGUUUCCCAUAGUUUUGAGAUUUUACUGUUUCGUCCCCUUUUGGAGUAUUUAUGACGCCCACUGUAUUUUUCUCUGACUUUGGCUUUUAAUUACCGUUGACUUAGUUUACUUUUGUAGGUCGUAGUCAAUCGGGCCUGCCCGCAUCCAAACGGACCACUUGCAUUGUGCCCGAUUUUUUUCUGAUCCGCGAUGGACCUGUCCGCCGACGACCGCGGUCUUGAAACACGACUCGUAGGGGUGGACAUUCGGAUAAGCGGGUCGGAUUCGGAUAAAACCCUAUCGAGUACAGGUUCUUCAGGUAGAAAAGUUUAGGAUCCAAUAGGGUAAAUCUAAAAUAUCGGUUCGGUGUCGGUUCGGGUCUAAUCGGGUUCCGGUCGGUUCGAAUAUAGAGUUUUGGGCUCUUUUUUGGAACCGAUACCAAAUUUUCGGAUGUAUAUCCAGAUUUUUCGGGUAAAUACCCAAAUUUUCUGGUAAAAUUUCGGGUUUUAGGUAAAAUUUAGAUUUUCGAAUAAAAUAUCCGGGUAUUUUCGGGUUCGGUUUCGGUUUUUUGGGUAGAGGAAUUUUGGACCCAAUAGGGUAAAUCUUCGAGUUCGAGUUCGGUUUCUGGUCCAAUUUUUCGGGUCGCUUCCGGUUCGGGUAAUCGGUUCCGGUUUUCUUGCCCACCCCUAGUAGGUUGUAUGAUUGUUACACUUCAUUAGAAAUAUAGAUAUCAUCAUGCUUCAUUACAAAACACCGGGUUUUUCGUUAUGUGAAAGAAUCUAGUCACUUGUUGUUGUUCUUAAGAUCAACAAGCUUUGCAGCUCUUUCUACAAAAUCCAAGGGAAGUUUCCGAACCCACCAUGUACAUUGGAUUCUUCUCGCAUUCCCCUGCAUCUGCCCAUUCUUGGCAGCUCUCAUGAUCGUCCACACACACAAGUUUCUUCUUACCGAAUGACCUAACAUGAAUCCAUCUAGUUGCUGACCAUUUCUCUCCCUCAAUCACCGGACAACUUCCAUGUAAGCUAUUUGGGUCCGUUGUUCCAUUUAGAUGAAGAUUGAAGAACAAUAAUGCGUCACCUUUCCUCGGUUUCACUACAAUUAAAGAUUACUUAUUCAAAUAAUGUAAUAUACCAUUUGAAGAAAUAGUUGUAUCUUUCAUAAAACAUAGAACCAUGCUACAACUACAAGUGUGUACAUCAAACUUGUAUAUAUUUUACCUGCAUAGCCUUGUUUUGCACAUUUCGACCAGCUAUCGUCUUUCAGCUGAGGUGUUUUACCCUAUAAGAAUGAAUGAUCACAUUAAGUGAUGAUUUAAAUUCAAAAACUCAAGUGAUGAUUUAUGGAACAAGAAGUGAUAUAUGUUUUACCUUCCAGUUGGGAAACACUGUUUCUCCACCCUUUGUGACAUUGGACAAGUACAUUAGUACGGUGGCGAUCCGAUGACCACCUAGCUCUAGAGCUUUCUUGUCGUAAAAAUAGUCGAAAUGCGGAUCAUAUUUUUGACCAUUCUCAUAGUGCAGUAUUUGUAAGGCUUCCCCAUUUUCUGAUCCACAACACAUAAAGAUAAGAUGAGAGUAAGAAACAGAAUUAGAAAAAAAAAGAAAAAUGUAUAUGCCUCGCGGAAGUACCCUCAGGAAGAAAGGUCCAUGCAGCAAGUUUAGCCUCGACAUUAGCUACUAUAUCAUCCUAAAGGUUGAAGUAAACAAAACCAAUAGUAACUUGGUCAAGACUCAAGCGUUUACUUCUUUACAAAAAAAAACACAGAGAACUAGUCUGUCUAUUUAGUGAAUUAAGCUAGUCGAAUACAAUAAAAAUACAUAGUAAAAUUCCACUGCUCUCACCUGUCUUUUGGUCAGAAACAUUCCAGAACUUGUGCGUACUUCACUGUCUUCACUCUCACCUGAAUCAACAUCAGCCACCACCAUUGACUUCUCAAGCUUUCCUUUUGCCUAAAACCAAUGUUUACAUCCACAACACAGUCCUAUAUGAUCACAAAAUCUAUAUAAUUUUAUGAAAACAAGAAAACUUAAUAACAUGUUUGAUUCUAUACCAACUUAAUCAAAUGAUCACAUUCCUCAUCUGAGAGAAAUCCUUUGUAUAAAAAUGCCCUGAAGAAACCACGAAAUUCACUUUCUUUAACACAACAGAACAAAGAUCAUGAUUACGUAAUUCAGAUACACAAAACACAUACCUAGGAGUCCAAGAGAGUUGAGUGAUUCUAGUUGGAUCAACACUAAAGGAGAAAGAUGAAAUUUGAGAGAAAAUCAAGAGAAGAGAAAGGGAAAAUGCAAGAAAAUAUUGAGAAUCCAUCAAGAAAUUUUUUCUUGAAAAAGAGUUUUGUUAAACAAUUUUGUUCCUUAUUUACUAAUGAUACCCAAUGAAUUUUUGUCCAUAUGUUUUUAUUUCUCGUUGACUAGUAUUUUUUACUUUUAAUAGGUUCUUUCACUAUUUUUUUCACCGGAAACAAACUUCUGUUUUUUUUUUGGUUGACUAAUAAUAAAAUUUUUGAGUUUUCAGAUAAUAGUAAUAUUGCAAUACCAAUAACUCAACCAUGUUCCAAUAUAAAACAUCAGUUACCAAGAGAGACUACCCUCCUUCUUCUGAUUUCUGAACCUUUUUUUUUGGGCAACACCUUCUUAACCUUAUUGUCAUAAUCAAUUGUUAUAUCAAUAUCCGGAUUCCGAAAUACGAUUCGAUUCGAUUCAAAAAAUAAAAACAUUCAAAGUUUUGAUUAUGAAAUCAUGUCUAUUGACUUUAUAUUAAUAUUUUCUAUUUCAAUUUAGAUCUUCUUCCAUAUAUAUUUAUUUAUUUGCAUAAAUAAAUUUAAUUUUUCUUAUAUUUCUGACUAAUAUCUUCAGAAAAAUAUUGUGUGGCAUCUCUUAGAAAUAUUUUAAUUAAUGAGUUUGAAAUUUUUUAUAAUAACCAAAUUUUUCUAUAAGUUGGAUUCUAACUCACUUAUCCAGAUCUUGUUAUCUUGAAAUUUUAACUAGUCAUUAAAACUCAAUAUAUCCUCAUUAACUACAAGAUUUUGGAAAUAUGUAAAAACAACUAGAUUUUAACCCGCGGUAUACCGCGGGACAAUUUAUUUUUUAAAUUAGUAUAUAUAAAAGUUUGUAAAUUAAAUCUAUUUAUUUUUAUUUUAUAGUUUACAAUUGUUAUUAAGUAACGUCCUGCCAAACCCGUCUCGCCAAAUCCGUCCCGUAAAAAAAACCGCGGUACACCGCUAAUUUAAAUAUAUAAUUAAAAUAAAUAUUUUACGGGAUUGCAAUUGUAUUUUGGUUUGUCAAACAAAUAUUGUUUUAAAUAGUUGCCAAAAUCUAGUUCAAAUUUUGGAGAAAAAAGAUUUAUUGGAUAGAUAAAUAAUGUAUUUAGGUGUGUUUUGCUCAUUUUAAGAGAUUGCAAUUAUAUUUUUGUUUGUCAAACAUUUUUUGUUUCAAAUAGUUGCUGAAUAUUGUGUGCGUGACAUAUGAGAUUGGAAUAUUUUUAGUUUGUUAAUCAAUUUAUUGCUGGAAAAAAGUUAAUAACUAAAAGCCAAUGACAGCCAUUGUAAAUAAGUCCCAACUCCAGGAUUUAUUUCAUAAAAUGACUGCAAAAAUGUAUAUAUAGAUUCAAAUUAGAAAAUGGGUUUAAAAUCUCUCUUUACAUAUAAGGCCCAUUAAAGACCCAUAACUUAAAAGGCCCAUUAAAAUUUCCGGCUCUGUGUCGUGUACCGUACGUACGGAACAAAACCCUAAAAUCUCCUCUCACAUUAUGGGACAGAGACAACAUUUGACCCUUAAAAUUCACAAACUAUAGAUCUCUCCAGUCCCUUUCGCAAACCCUAGCAGUCGAAAGAUCGAAAUCGAAAACCCCUAAAACGAUGAAGGUGAUUGCUGCAUUUCUCCUCGCGAAACUCGGUGGAAACGAGAAUCCAACCUCAAAUGAUCUGAAGAAGAUCUUGGAAUCUGUUGGUGCUGAAAUCGAUGAAACGAAGAUAGAUCUGUUGUUUUCUCUCAUCAAGGAUCAUGAUGUGACGGAGCUUAUUGCUGCUGGGAGAGAAAAGAUGUCUGCUUUGUCUUCUGGUGGUCCAGCUGUUGCUAUGGUGGCUGGAGGUGGUGGUGGUGGUGCUGCUUCGGCGGCUGAGCCGGUUGCUGAAUCUAAGAAGAAGGUUGAAGAAGUGAAGGAUGAAUCUUCUGACGAUGCAGGCAUGAUGGGUCUCUUUGAUUGAUCAUUUGGUUAGAAGUUUCGUUUAAAGGUCAAGACUUUAUGUUUCUGAUGUUGGUUUUAUUGAUGGAUCUUUGUUUAAUGUUGAGACUUGUGUUUCUGAUGUUGGUUUAAUGAUCUUUGGUGGUGAUGACUCUAUGUUGGGUUUUACUUGUGAUUUGAGAAUUGUGGAUGAUGAUGAUGAUUUUAGGAUUUGAGAUUGAUAGAUCAUAGCGAGUUUGUUUAUGUGAUUUGAUGCUUUUGGAUCGCUGAGUAGUAUUAUCAUGAUUAGUAGUUAAAGAUGGAUAUAUUAAGAGUAGCCAGUGAGUCAAAAUGUGAAAAGGGUUUGUUUUGUUAGUGGCUAAGAACACAUUGGAGCAAAUCUUUCAUUUGAGUUUAUGUGUAUAGUGAGUUUGUUUAUGUAAUUUUGUAUGGUUUUUCAAUAUGGGUUUGGUUUUGGUUUGCAAAGAUGUGAAAUGGGUUUGUUUUGUUAGUGGCUAAGAACACCUUAGAGCAUAUCUUAUUUAUGAGUUGAUUUGUAUGAAUUAUAUAAGUUAAGAUUGUGGUUCCAUUAAGGUACACACCAAAGAGCUUAUCUUUAUAGAUACUUGAAGUAUAGUUUGGUGAUCUAAAUAUGUUGCUUAGAAGUUUACAUUAUAACUAUCCAUGUAACAACAAACAGAUGAAUUUUAUCAAAUAUGUUUCAUUUAGGAGAUGAAUUCUUGGUUUUGACAUUGGCUGCAUGUAGCUUCUCUUAGUACCCUUGUACUUUUGGUUUCACCUGCAUAGAGAAAACCCACAAGAAUAUGACAGUCUGAUUUGUCAGUCUCAUUCUCAAGCAACAUUUCUCUAUCCGUUACUUUCAUGGUGAAUAACACAAUCCAUCAUCAAUACUUUGUGUUACUCAGAAACUGAAAGUUAUUCCGAGUCUUGCAUAUCUUUGGACCUACUCGUUUUUCUACCAUUAUUGCUGAUUGUUAAGCUCUCGCUACUUGAAUCGGCAUUGUUGGAGUGGGAAGGUUCAAAAAAUUGGAGUUAUGACUAGUUGUCUCUUUCUAUGUACGAUGGAGAAAAUGAAUAAACAACUGAGAAAAUGGCUCUUGUUUAGUUGAUGAUGCUCUUAAGCUUUCCACUGGUUGCCAUAUAUGAUUUGGGCAUUUCACUUUGAUCUUAAUGGGCCUUGUAAAGCCCAAGACUCAUGAUUAUCUUUAGUUGAUGCUCUUAAUUAGGUGUGGGCAAAUAAUUCAAACUGUAUGUACCCGACCAAAACCAAAGCAAAAAUAAUCGAACCAAACCGAAAAUUUAAAAAUAACCGAAUGAAAACUAAAUCCUAUAACUGAAAGAACUGAAACCGAAUCAAAAUAUUUAAUGUAACCAAAAAUAUCCGAAAUAUAAUUAUAUUGUCAAAAAUAUUAAUAAUUUCUAGAUUAAAUAAUUAAAAAUACUUAAAAAUUUAUAUAAAAUAGUAAAAAUACUCGAAAAUAACCACAAAUAUUCAAAAACAACCGAAAUAUCCCAAAAUAUUCAAAGCAAAAUAACCGAAUGGAUACCAAAUUUUAAAACCGAAAAAACUGGAACAAAACCAAAAUCGAACCAAAAUUUCAAAAAUCGAAUAAAUACUAAACUUUAGAACAAAAAAAAACGAUAACCGAAUGUAUACGAACCAAAGCCGAAUUAGAUAACCGAACGUCCAGGACUACUCUUAAUCUUUCCGCCACUUAUGAUUUGGGCUAUUACUUUGUUUAUAAUGAGCCUUUUCAAGCUCAAGUUCAUGAUUGUCCGUGAGAUGAGAAACUGACUUGUUGGAUUCGAAACCCUAGCUAGUAUUGGUUAAUACUUAAUACAUAAAUGACCUGCAUUGACAUCAUCAUCCAAGAAAAUAAAAAUUGUAUGCUUGAGAUAUUUAGUUUUCCUAGGUUUUCUUUAUUUUAGUACCGAAUCUUUAGGUGUGCCACGUUAAUUUAGACCCAUUUUUUCAUACUUACCAACUGAGUCUAGUUUAAUCAUGACUAUAAUCGUAUAAAAUGAUUCAGUCGACGUCAUUGCGAACGUAUAUAAAAUCAUCCAAAUUGACGUCAUUCCAAAGAGGUAAGCAUGCUUAUCUAAGAGUCCGAGCAUACUAAACAAGACGACAUUUUAUUUGCACUCCAAAUCAAAUUUUGUAUUGCCUAAAGAAAAACAAUCAAACUCAAGUUUCUUAAAAUUAAUUUCAUUCAAACUAAUCACUUUCAAUAUCUCACAUAUUAUUCAUGCCAUUUCUAUUUGUCUAAACAUGAUUUAAAAAAAAAAGUAAAAUACAAAGAUUACUAUGCAAAAACUCUAUAAAAAAAAAUUCAAAUUUCUUAUUUAUUUGUGACAUCAAAUUUUCAAAAUAAUUUUUUUAAUUAUCGGUUGAUCCGGUCAGUCGAUAAAAACAUAAACUUUCAGCGACCGUUAAAACUUUCCUACUACCGAUUUAGAGAAAAUCUUAGCUUGAAACGUAAUUGUAACCUGCCUUCAUGCAAGUCGCAAGAUAUGUCAUCCUAAGUUGUAUAUGUUUUCUCAAAAGAUGUAUUUACUUGAGAAAAUACGUUUCAACGUUGAUGGACAACCAAUUAAGAAUCAAGCACCUUUCGUAAUCAAUUUAGGCUUAUCGUCUAAGGUAUACUGAUUUACGACAGUUGACUAGACUUAUAAGGAACAAAAUAAUAGAAUAAUUUCGUCAAGAAAAAUUGAUUUUGGACUCAUACUUUACAUAAUAUUUUACUCUUAAAUUUAUUUAAGUGGCUCCUCGCAUGAUCCCAAAGAGCAAGCCUAGACUAUAUGGAAAAGUUUCUAAACACUUCACCUAAUCAUAGAGACUAAGAUGGUAAUUCGUAAACGACAAAGCCUAGUGACACUGUCCAUUGUAAAAUUCCACAUCAUAUUAGUAUUAAACAUAUACAUGUAGUUUCCUGAACACAUGUAGUAUCAAACACACUUCGUGGCUUCUUCCUCGAAACCUCGAGCCUAGGAUAUAAAUAGAGAGUGAAUAACAGAGUUGUGAAACCAAAUCACAGAUCACACUUACCAGAUCACAAGACAAACACAAACUAAUAGUUUCGUGUGACACAAGUAAAGAGUUUCGUGAGAUAGAAGCAACACCAAAAGAUGCUUGAAACUGGAGCCAUAUGGGGAAUAACCGGCACGACGGUGACGAGCUUUAUGUUCUUCUGGGCGAUUUACAAACAAUACGUCCCUGCCCAUUUCCGAGCCUAUGUGGAGAGAUACUUCCACAAGAUGAUUGGAUGGAUCUCUUACUACGUUGACAUCAAAUUCACCGAGUACACAGAUGAAGGUCUGAAGAGAAGCCAAGCCUACGACUCCAUACGCAACUACUUAGCGUCGAAAUCAACGGCUCUUGCUAAAAGACUAAAGGCCAACGAAACGAAAAACAGCAAAUCUUUGGUGUUUAGUAUGGAUGAUCAUGAGGAAAUUGAAGAUGAGUUCGAAGGUGUGAAGGUGAAGUGGUAUUCGAAUGUGAAAGUGAUUCAGCCUCAGUCUAAUUAUGGUCAACGCAGCUCAGAGGAGAGAAGGCACUUUACUCUUAGUUUCCAUAGGCGACACCGAGGUAUGAUCAUUGAGACUUAUCUUGAUCAUGUUUUGAGAGAAGGGAAAGCUAUUGGAUUGAUGAACAGAGAGAGGAAGCUUUACACUAAUAACUCAAGUCAAGAAUGGUAUCCUUGGAGGUCAGGAAAGUGGAGCAACGUUCCUUUUCACCAUCCGGCGACGUUUGAGACUUUGGCUAUGGAUCCAGAGAAGAAAGAAGGGAUUAAGAAGGAUUUGAUAAAGUUUAGCAAAGGGAAAGAUUAUUACAAGAAGGUUGGGAAGCCAUGGAAGCGCGGUUAUCUCUUGUUUGGCCCGCCCGGGACAGGGAAAUCGACGAUGAUAGCUGCAAUAGCGAAUUUCUUGGACUAUGAUGUGUAUGAUCUUGAGCUAACGACGGUGAAGGAUAACUCAGAGCUGAAGAAGUUGUUGUUGGAUACAACUAGUAAGUCUAUCAUUGUGAUUGAAGAUAUUGAUUGCUCGCUUGAUCUUACGGGGCAGCGAAAGAAGAAAAAAGAGGAAGAUGAAGAGGAGGAUGGAGAGGAGAAGAAGGAAGGUGAGAAGAAGCCCAAGGUAGAUGAUAAGCAGAGCAAGGUUACUUUGUCAGGUUUAUUAAACUCCAUUGAUGGGUUAUGGUCAGCUUGUAGUGGUGAGAAGAUCAUAGUGUUCACAACUAAUUUUGUGGAUAAGCUUGAUCCAGCAUUGAUACGUAGAGGAAGAAUGGACAACCACAUUGAGAUGUCUUAUUGCAAGUUUGAAGCAUUCAAGGUUUUGGCUAAGAACUACUUGGAGAUUGAAACACACGACUUGUAUGGAGAAAUCGAAAGAAAGCUCGAAGAAACCGAUAUGUCCCCCGCGGAUGUUGCGGAGACUUUGAUGCCGAAAUCUGACGAAGAAGAUGCAGAUAUUUGCAUCAAGCGUUUGGUCAAGACUUUGGAGGAAGAGAAGGAGAAAGCAAGGAAGUUGGCUGAGGAAGAAGAGAAGAAGAAAGCAGAGAAGGAAGCAAAGAAGAUGAAGAAAGCAGAGGAAGCAGAGGAGAAGAAGAAGAAGACAGAGGAAGAUGAGAAGAAGGAGAAAGUGAAGGCCAAGGAGGAAAACGGCAACGUUUCUCAACAAAAUGGCAACUCAAUUGAUUUGAACAAGAAAAGUGACUCAUGAUGAAUUUUAGUUUAUUGUAUAAGGAUGUAAUUUGGCAAUUAUUCUUCUCUCCUCUUAUCAUAUGCUUUUAAAGAAUUUGUAUUUACUAUCUAUAGAUUUCAUCAUUGUGUUCCAUCGUUUCAUAUGCUUUUACAUUCACGUCAAGUGCCUUUAAAAUGAAAUAUGUAAUACACAAUUUGUCAACAAAUAUAUAAUUUAAAAACAUUCAUUAUUUCAUUAUGAAAUUAAAAUAUUUAUUAUUUCCAUUUAAUGAAACGACAUCAAAGAUUUUGUAUGUAAAUCUUAUGCUUCUUUUGUUAUUUCGCCUAUACUUUUGAUUAUAUGUUUUUGGUUCUACGUUUACUAGUUAGAUCCAUGUAUUAUUCUUUCUCUUUAUUGCAUUUAUUUUUAUCAUUAAAACUACAACAUUAUUGUUUCAUUUCAAUAUUCUAAUUUUCAAUUAAACAAAUAGUAUCAAUUCCCGUAUACAUAUUAAUUUACUUCAUCUUCAUCUUCAAAUUUAUGAAUUUCUUUUUCUAGUUAACUAAAUUUACUUUCCCUUUCUAAUAAAUAUUAUUAUUGUUAUUGCUAUUAUUAACAAUUAGACAAAUGUCACCGAUCAAAAUGAACUUCUGAAUCUUAAUUUCCCUAUAGUUAUUUAUUUACUUCUUCAUUUUCAUGUUCAAAAAUUUGAAUUUCUUUUUCUAAUUAACUAAAUUUAGUUUCUCUAAAUUUCAUACUAAUAUUUUUACUUUUAUUUUUAACAAUUAGACAAAUGUCACUGUUCAAAAUGAGCUUCUGAUUUUAUCUGAAACAUAUGAAAAAGCUUACAAAUUUAAAUUAAUAUAUGCUUCAAUGUUAUCUUGAAGCUCCUUCAUCAAUUUAAUAAGAUUUUCUCUACCAUUUUUUUGUUUAAUUGAUAUUUGCUAUGUUAAACUUUUUUCUAGCCUUACCACUAAAGACUUAAAAAGCCCUAAAGACUAAAAUAUCAUGCUAUAUAUAAUUAGUUAAAGCACAUCUCAAAGUCUCAAAGAGAACUUAACAAACACAAAGAUGCUUGAGGUAGGAACAAUAUGGGGUUUCACCAGUACGACUAUGGCGAGUAUUAUGUUCUUAUGGCCAAUGUAUAAACAGUUUGUGCCAUACCAACUACGAGAAUACUUGGAAAACACCAUUCAGAAGUAUUUGGACAAGUUGUUCCGCAGGGACUCAAAUUUUGUUUACAUCAGAUUCCCUGAAUACACAGGAGAAGGUCUAAGUAAAAGCCGAGCCUACGAUGAGAUAGGCAACUAUUUAUCCUCGAUAUCAACUGCUAGAGCCAAGAGAUUAAAGGCCAAAGAAUCGGAAAACAGCAAAUCGUUGGUUCUUUGUUUGGACGACGACGAGGCAGUUGUAGUUGUAUUCCAAGGUGUAAACGUGGUAUGGUCUUCCACCGUGGUAGAUAAAGAGGAUAAACAUAAUUCGAAGGAGGGAAGGUACUUGACUCUGACUUUCGAAAAUCAUCACAGAGAUAUAAUCACAAACACUUAUAUUGAUCAUGUUUUGAGAGAAGGAAAAGAGAUUGCGUUAAAGAACAGAGAGAGGAAGCUCUACACUAACAAUGACAGUAGUAGUUAUUCGUCUUGGUGGGAAGGACUAUGGAGCAACGUUCCUUUUAAUCACCAUGCGUCGUUCGAGACUUUGGGCAUGGAUCUUGAUAAAAAAGAAGAGAUUAAAAAGGAUUUGAUUAAGUUUACUAAAGGAAAAGAUUAUUAUAGGAAGGUUGCUAAGCCGUGGAAGCGCGGUUAUCUCUUGUUUGGACCUCCCGGGACAGGGAAAUCGACGAUGAUAUCCGCAAUAGCGAAUUUCUUGGAGUAUGAUGUGUAUGAUCUUGAGUUGACCACAGUGAAAGAUAACGCGGAGUUGAAGAAGUUAAUGUUGGACACAAAAGGGAAGUCUAUUGUUGUAAUUGAAGAUAUUGAUUGUUCCCUUGAGCUUACGGAACAUAGAAAGAAAAAGAAGGAAGAAGAUGAGGAUAAAGAGGAGAAGAAGGAAGCUGAGAACUUGAAAAGAGUAAGUGGGAAUAAUGAGAGCAAUGUUACUUUGUCGGGGUUAUUGAACGCCAUUGAUGGGUUAUGGUCAGCUUGUAGUGAUGAGAAGAUUAUUAUUUUUACAACAAAUUUUGUGGAUAAUCUUGAUCCAGCAUUGAUACGUAGAGGAAGAAUGGACUACCACAUUGAGAUGUCUUAUUGUAGGUUUGAAGCAUUUAAGGUUUUAGCUAAGAACUACUUGGAGAACGAGUCACAUGACUUGUAUGGAGAGAUUGGGAGAUUGCUAGAGGAAGUCGACGUGUCUCCGGCUGAUGUUGCUGAGAAUUUAAUGCCGAAAUCUGAUGAAGACGAUGCAGAUAUUUGCUUUAGACGUUUGGUUAAGUCUUUGGAGGAAGAGAAGAAGAAGAAAAUAGAGAAGGAAGCGAGGAAGAACAAGAAGAAAGCAGAGGAUAAUGUAAAGCAGGAGAAACAAAACAAAGUGAAGGGCAUGGUUACAAAGUAAACUUUAAAACGUUUAUUACUAUUGUGGUUUUAUUUUGCUUUGGCAUGGUUACAAAAUAUAAACUUUAGAUGCAAAAGUAAGCUAUAACAUUAUUUUUAUUAAAUCUACCUGAACUCGUUUUAUGAGAAAUCCGACUCCAUACAUGAUUUUAUAAUUAGUUAAGAAGACUAAGAGAUAAACUAAAUGCAAAAAAGAAAAAAAUACCCAAUAACUUCCAUUCAUACAACUUAUCUACGUUAUAUGAUUUCUCCAGUAACUUCCAUUCAUACAACUGUAAAGAGCUUACAAGAAACGAUGACUCCUUUAAGGCUGAUACUAUCAAAGCAUGAUCUCGAGUAAGCUUCUUCAUUUUGUAGAAGCAAUGGUAGAAAUAGGAACUAGACAAUGAAAAGAAAGCCACUUUGAUAUAUCAACUGCAAUUUUUGAAGAUGCAGAUUCUGAUGACAUCAAGGAGCUGAUGGACAUCAGGGAGCUGAUGAACAUCAAGGAGCUGUUAGUUCAUAUAUUCAUUAUACAAUUUUAGAUGAAAAUAUAUAUUAUAAUAUUAAAUUUUAUAAUAACUAAAUGAAAUAUAUAUUGUUUUUUCACUUUUUCUUUAUGUUAUUUAUAUUAAUUAAAAUAUUGUAAUUAGAUAAUUAAAUGUUAUUAUAUAAAAAAAACGACAGCUCUUAAAGCACAAAAAAAUGUGUUGUAAAAAAUUUAAAAGUUACAUGUAAAAAAACGAAAAAAAAUUGUUUUGAGCUGUGAGAUUUGUUAAGAAAGUUAAAGAUUGAUUGGUUCAAAAUUAGGACUGUAAGUUCAAAAAAGUUGUAUUUAGGCAAAAAAAUUGUUUUGUUUAGUUUGGUAUGAAUGCACGGCUAAAAAUGGGAUAGAGGAGAUGUGUAGGGAUCUAUGGAAUUGGGCAAGCAAUAACCCUUACGGCUACAAUUCCUCCUCCAACGGCUCCUCUUCAUAAUUCUCUUUUUUUUUAGUUUUUAUUAUACUGUUUUCCUUAUUCUGUUAUUCAUAUCAACAAACACAUGAAAAAAGAGAAGGCUGACAAGUACACAAACUUUAGAAGAAAUUGGGGAAAAUUCUUGUACUAUUAAUUUAUCAUAGAAACUAUAUUUUAUUAAAUUGUCAGUUCAUACAUUUUCAAAUCGUUGAAAUUUUUUUUCUUGUAUUUGUGUAUUUGUUCUAUUUUUCUUGUAGUUAUGUAUGUAAAUGUGCUCAUUUGUCGAGAAAAACAAUUAUAUGGAUCAUUAUUUGGACAAAAAAGUGGGUAAGGAAAUCAAGGGAAAUGAUUAACUAGAUUAUUGAAAUUUGACAAAUUACUAUUUUCUGAUAUAAGUCCAAUUUACCCAAAAUAUGAAUGUCUUUAAGAAGACUUACAAACAUUGUUGGAUCUACCAGUAAUAGAGAGACAAUGGUCCAAACAGUUGCGUUUGCAAACAUUGCAAACGACUACCAAGAAGGACAUAUAUUCGACGCUUUUAGUUCUUACAACUUUCAUCUGCAUUUUAUCAUUGUUUCUUUAUUAAAAACUUUAUUUUUUCCGUAGUAGUAAUGCAGGGAUAUUUAUUAAUCUUUGAUAUUGAAAACAUAAACUUACUAAUACAGAUACUAGAGAAAUAUAUAUGAGUAUAUUGCAGACGCAACAAGCAUCCCCAAUAACAAAUUGUCGUAGUUCCAUAGAAUCGAUUAAACUCAAACUCGACAUGGCAAAUGUAGCUACGAAUACGACCUUGACUGACCUCGUAGAUGAUAUCCAUUGUCCUAAAAAAAGAGAAAACGAGUUGAAGAAGAGAGUGAAGAACGGAGGAGAGAAGAGAAUAGAGAGAAAAGAGGAAUUGUCGCUAAUGAUAUAUUUCUCAUAAGAGAAGGAAACAGGUUUAAAUACAACCACAUAAUUUGUAUGUGCUUUGAUACUAAAAAUGCACACAUAUAUUUGUAUAAGUACAAAAAUGCUCUUAUUGUAAUAAUCCAUGUAAUGAUGAAUAUCUGAGUGACAAACUAGUCAAAUUUACAUGUAUACUUAAAUACUUAAAAGAUAAAGUAGAAUAUUAAAACUCAAUUACUUCAACAAAGGAAGCAAAGAAAAGAGUGAAAUCCUUAUAAAAAUAUGAAAAAAUUAGCAUGGUUUAAAACCUAUCUUUUAGAUGAUAAUGAAUUAUCGAUAUAUAGAUGCAUGUAUACUAGUAUUAUGCAAAACAUAAGCAAAAUAUAAACAAAACAUAAGCAUAUUUUGUUUAUGUGUACAUCACCUCACCUAGAACUUGUUUCGCGAUGUAAACACUGUAAAAAAUUUUCAUUAUGUAGAGUAAAUAAUAAGAAGAUGAAGAAGGUGGUAAUAAAUAUAGAUAAAAAAAGCUGAAUUAUAUGCCUAAAUUAUGGGUUAUGGCUAGGUUUGUCAAAAUGGAUAACCAAAGGCAACUCAUUAUCCAAUGAAUUUAUGGUUAGAGUUAAAUGAGUUCAUGAGUUGACCCAAUUCAUUUAAUAAAAUGAAUUGGGUCAACUCAUGAACUCAUUUAAUUUGAUGGGUUGAAUUGUUAAAUGGAUUAAUCCUUUUAAAUAAUAAUUUAAACAAUAAUUUAAUUAAGAAUUAUUAGAAAAUAAUAAUCAAAAAAUUUCAUCAUUAUUAUCAUCAAAAUUGGGAAAUUUACGGAUUCACAAUUUUUUACGCGAAAAUUAUGGAUUUACGUUUUGGACGAAAUACAUGUUUUUUUGCGGAAAAAUACGAAUUUACGUUUUUAGCAGGAAAAUUACGGGUUUAUGUUUUUGGCGGAAAAAAUUGAGAUUUAUGUUUUGAAUCGCAAUUAUACAACAAAAUAUUAUUUGAAUCAUAAGUUUCAUCGGAUUUUUACCGACUUUCAACGAUUUGUCACUGAAUCUCACCAAAUUUUAUUGAAUUGUCACCGGAUCUUCACAAGAUUUCGUCGCAUUGUCACCGGAUCUGCAUCAGUAUUUUUUUAAAUUAACCAAUGGAACUUAGGAAGUUUCAUCAUAAUAUUAACACUAAAUUGUGUUGAAUUUUUAGUAUUGAUUGACUCUAUUCCAAACAUGUUUUCACUGAUUACAAAUAACCGCUUGUCAUAGAUUUUUCAUAUUCUUACAAAAUAAAUAUAUAUUUUAUUGAAUAUUCAAUCUAAUUGACGAAAAAGACAAUAUGAAAAAUAUAUUCAUAUAUCUACAAAGGUUUUCGGAGAUCUACAACAAACAUCAAUUUAUUUGUCUCACGUGGACCGAUUAUAAAUCCAAAUAUCUUAGUUGCAUUGGAUUAAAUUGAGAAAAAUAUGGACAAUAUUUGCAUUGUUAUGGACCUUUUGUUGGUUUACUGGAAAACUAAUUUACUCCAAAUCCAUCUGCCCCCAAUUAUCUCGCCAACAAAAACGACACGUAAAUAGCACUUAUCUGGAGUAGGCAUAUAAGUUUUGUUCCCAAGUUAACAUCUUACUUAAGCCCACAUUCACUGAGUAAUUUUUAAAAAGCGAAGUCCUCGAAGAACAAAUUUAACUAUCCAAUUAAUACAAAUUUCGACUUGAACAGUUUGGCACUAUAAAGAAGGAACAGCAAAAGCUUUAACAUUCUAUACAAAAUAAGACGUUUUUGAGAUGCAAGACCACCAAAAAUAUUUUUAAAAAAUUCAAAAUAUAAAGACCACCAAUAAUUUGUGUAGACUUUACUAAGAUAUAUCCAAAAAAUGAGUUUAAGUGGUGUUUGAAAGAGAUGUAUUAUUCGUUGAAACAUAAAAACGCCACAAAGUCUCUGCAAAUUUGUAUUAUUAGUUUACUUCUGCCCGUCAUCCAUCGGUUAUUUCGGUCUUCGGGGAAACAAGAUAAUAAGUUAUAACAUAUCUUUUUCUUAUGAUAAAAAUAGUGAUUUUGCACUUUAAUGUUGAAAUGACUAUUAAGUUGUAAAAAGAUACUACGAACAUAAAAGAUGGAUCUACAACUACUAAAUACAAAAGUAAAUUUAAAGAAAAAACUAAAACUUUAACAUCACCACUUUAUUUUUAUGAUCCCACUCUUUAUGGUUUGAUCCAUAAUUUCUCAAAACUCGGAAUCGGUUUCACACCUAGCUUCUUCAAACUCAUAUAUAGUAUCUUCAUGAUUAAGCAAAUACAACAAAAUCUUUCAAUACUUUUCGUCAAAUUUGUACCCAAGAACAUGAAAACCAUGUGGAAUGACUAUUUAUACGAACCAAAAUUUCAUGAUAAUAAAUAUUUCUUUUAUCAAAGUGGCAAUACAAUUUCGUUGUAACUAGAGUAGGAUAAAUACCCAUAGAGUUCUGCCCCUAAAAAAAGGAAGAAAAAAAAAGAAGAGAAAGUAGCAUAAAUGCAAACUUUAUCAUCGCUAUAUGCUCAAAGUUGUUUUUUUAUUUUUUGAUAAUAUGCAAAGUUAUUUUGAAACGGAUUCAACUUUAUAUAACAAGAUUCUCUCAACGACUUAUAUGUGAAUUGAUAUUUGCUUUCCCUGAUUUUUUUCUAACAAGAAUUUAAGUGGUUUUCUUAACAACAACCAAAACGAAAAUGAAAAUGAAUUUAAGUGGCUCUCACAAGUCACACGUUGGCAUGAGCAAACCAACGUAAGAUCUACUCUUUUAACGACUAAAGACUAAUAAAUCCCGAAAUAAUCAAAGAACAUGGAUAUAUAUAAUUAGUGAGAGCACAUCUCAAAGUCACAAAGAGAAGUAAACAAACACAAAGAUGUUUGAAGCCGGAGGAUUAUUUGGUUUCACCGGCACGACCAUGGCAAGUCUUAUGUUCUUCUGGUCAGUGUACAGACAGUUUGUGCCAUACCAAAUCAGAGACUACUUGGAGAAGUGUUUUUACAAGAUGUUCGGUUUGGUCUCAAAUUCUGUUCACAUCAAAUUCACUGAAUACACAGAAGAUAAAGGUCUCAAGAAAAGCCAAGCCUAUGAUUUGAUACGCAACUACUUAUCCUCGAAAUCAACGGCUCGUGCUCAGAGGUUAAAGGCCAACGAAUCAAAAAACAGCAAAUCGUUGGUGCUUAGUUUGGACAAUCACGAAGCAGUUGAAGAUGUGUUCCAAGGUGUGAAGGUGGUGUGGUCUUUGAGCGUGUGGAAGAGUAAUGAUCAGGCUGAUUCUAGCGAGAAAAGGUACUUGACUUUGAGUUUCCAUAAUCGGUAUAGGGAGAUGAUCACAACGACUUAUCUUGAUCAUGUUUUGAGAGAAGGGAAAGAGAUUGGUUUGAAGAACAGAGAGAGGAAGCUUUACACUAAUAACUCGAGUCAAGAUUAUUCGGCUUGGAGAGAAGGAAGGUGGAGCAACGUUCCUUUUGAUCAUCCCGCAACGUUUGAGACUUUGGCUAUGGAUCUUGAGAAGAAAGAAGGGAUGAAAAAGGAUUUGAUUAAGUUUACUAAAGGGAAAGAUUAUUAUAGGAAGGUUGGGAAGCCGUGGAAGAGAGGUUAUCUGUUGUUUGGACCGCCGGGGACAGGGAAAUCGACGAUGAUAUCGGCUAUGGCGAACUUCUUGGAGUAUGAUGUGUAUGAUCUUGAGUUGACUACUGUGAAGGAUAACUCGGAGUUGAAGAAGCUAAUGUUGGAUACAAAAGGGAAGUCUAUUGUUGUGAUUGAAGAUAUCGAUUGUUCGCUUGAUCUUACGGGACAGAGAAAGAAGAAGAAGGAGGAAGAUGAGGAUGAAGAGGAAGAAGAAAAGAAGAAAGAAGCUGAGAAGUUGUUGAAGAGAGAAAGAGGUGAAAGAGAGAGUAAGGUUACUUUGUCGGGGCUAUUAAACGCCAUUGAUGGGUUGUGGUCAGCUUGUAGUGGAGAGAAGAUUAUUGUGUUUACUACGAAUUAUUUGGAUAAGCUUGAUCCAGCUUUGAUACGUAGAGGAAGAAUGGACAACCAUAUUGAGAUGUCUUAUUGUAGGUUUGAAGCGUUUAAGGUUUUGGCUAAGAACUACUUGGAGAUUGAGUCACAUGACUUGUUUGGAGAAAUCAAGCGAUUGGUGGAGGAAACUGACAUGUCUCCAGCUGAUGUUGCUGAGAACUUGAUGCCGAAAUCUGAUGAAGACGAUGCCGAUAUUUGCCUUACGCGGUUGGUUAAGUCUUUGGAGGAAGAGAAGGAGAAAGCAAAGAAGUUGGCUGAGGAAGAAAAGAUGAAGAAAGCAGCGAGGGAUGCAAGGAGGAUCAAGAAGAAAGCAGAGGAAGAACACAAAAAGAAGAAUAAAGUAGAGGAAAACGGCGACGUAUCUCACGAUAAUGGUAACCAUAUUUGAGGGAAGAUAUCACAAAAAGAGGAAGGAAAAUAGAUUGGAGCGUUGAUGUGAUGAAUUAGUAUUUGAGUCUACUCUUUCUUUAGGUUGUGUUUUGGUAUGGUGUUGUCAAGUAAGAAUUGAAAUGAAAUAAAUAAGUUUAUUGGUUCCAAUGUGUAAUCGUUCUUAUCAUAACUCAUCUCGCUAAAUGGUUACCUAUAAGGUGUUAUAUAUGUUAUACCGUGCCAAUCACUCCCAUGUUUGUUACUUUUUCUUGGAUAUUGAGGCAUUCACAAGAACAUUUAAGAUCUAAACAUCAAAUUUGUCACAUAAAAUAAAUCAUACGUGCGUGCGAAAUUUCAUAUUUUCAGAAAUGUGUUAUAAUAAUUUUUUAUUAAAUAUCUGAUUGUUUUGUUGUUUUAGUGAUAUAUAUUGUAUUGAAUAAAUUAUAAUAUACACAUAAAAGUAUAAAUGUUAUUUAUGUUUGCUUAUGACACAAUAGCAACCAUAAGUCAAUUUUUGGAGUUUGAAACUGAAGAGUAAAUUAGAAAAAAUCUUAGAUUGUUAUAUAAUAUAAGUUAGAUUGAUGUUAAAAAAAUUAUUUAUAUAGUUAUAGUAUCUAUAACCUAAACUCAUAUUAGUUGGUUGAAAUAUUUGAAAUAAUAAUGAUUUUAGUAAUAUUUAAAAUUCGUAACAAUCAAACAAUCGGACCGAGAUCAAACUGAAUCGAGUUAAUGGUCAGGUAGAUUUUUAUUAAACUUGUGAACAUUAAACUUGUAAACUAUCAAACCAUAUAUAAAACCGAUAAAGUGAGUAAAUACGUUUGCGAAAAAUAUAAUUAUUUAGAGUAAUUCCCAUUCAAUUUUAUCAUGUUCCAUUAUAUCUUACCCGUUCUCCAAUUUAUAUCUCAUAAGAGAAUGCAUCUCUAAUAUAAGAUAAAUUUUGUAUUCCCGAUUAGAAACAGGAGGUGACGGAAACAAAAAUUCUGGAUAUCCUGUUUGGGACAAACACAAAUAUAUUUAGUAUAUUUUUAUAUGAUAUGAAAUAAUAAAAAUAUUACAAAAGUAAUUGACUUCUUUAUUCUUAGUGUUUUAUAUUUUGUUCAUAAAUAUUAAAUUACAUUUGUUUGUUUUUUAAAUUUUAACUAUUAUAGAACAUACUAUAAUAACAUUUCUUAUUUUGAACAUUUUUAUGCUAUAUAAAUUGAAAACACAUGUUAUAUAUUUGAUGGCAAACGUUAAUUUGUUUGAAUUGUAACUUGUUCUAAUCUAAAAUCUAUGUUUUUAUCCCGUUCUAUCUUCUUCCUUGUCGUUCCUGUUUUGUAAUUCCUAUUCUCGUUAUAUCAUGUCCAAAGUUCAUUUUUGCUUAUAUUUAAACACCAUACAACAGACGGUUGUAAUUUUUGAGGAUUAACAUAUGUUCUGUUCAAAUUUGUAAAUAUACUGUAAAUUAAAAUAUGAAAACAAAUUGAAAAAAUAAAUGAUCUAUCAACUAUAAUAUGUCAUACUCAUACAUUUGUUCUUGUGUAUACAUGUAUAUGAAAACAAAAUUAUAUUUACUAUUUAAUAUAAAUGCAAAAAUAAACACCGACUUGAUAUAUUAUCUUAAAUCCAGAAAUCCUGUUGUUGAUAUAAUAUAUAAUUAAUCAAAUAAAGAUAUUUGAAUUUAUUUGAUAAACUUGCUUCAUAACUCCAAGAAACGAAUCUUACCAAAAUCAUAAAACUAAGAGAUAGUUUAAUGUGAAUAAAUUUAGAAAAUCAUUUUAAAUUAAUUUUUAAAAAUAUGUUAACUAAAAAAUAUCUUGUAAUUAGUUAAUUAGUCAUCUUGAUUUAAAUUAAAUAGUUCCCUAAAUUUAAUAUUUUUCACUUCGAAAUAUUUACAUUAAAAAUUUAAAAACGUUAUGUUUUCUUCUUAAAUCUAAUUUAAGAUUAAAGUAAAAAAAACAAAAAAAGCAAAAUCAUUGAUAAUUAAUUAUAUUGCUUCAAAAGCAGUACUUUUCAAAACGUCAUUUUCAAUGCAUAAAAUUGCUAAACCGUUCAAACUUUCUUGAGACAUUGAUGAUCUCAAAUAAUUUUUCAGCACGCUUAGAGAAACUUCUUUCCAUUGAGGCUACUGUCACAAGAGUGGUUAGUAAAAUUCGAUAAGCAAUAAAGAUAUUUGGAUAACAACCAAUAGUAUUCACAAACUCUAAAAUCUCAAUAGGUGCCAUCACUUCAUUAUGUAAAGUUACCUGCAAUAUUUUUAACCCAGAAAAAACUCAUCCAAGUCAACAUCCGAUGAACCACUAUGAAAAAAUGUAUUAUAAAAAGUAGUGCAACGUUCUCUUAAUUCAAUAGCAUCAAGUGACUUUAGCUUCACUGAAUUAUAUAAGAAUCCAAAAACAGUCUCAAACGUUCUCAUUUCCACAAUUUUACUUUUCAAAGAAGCAAUUGCCAUAUACACAAUAACCUAAAAUAAUCAAAAUUAAAAGUAUCCUCAGGGGUUUGAAUUACCUCAUCAUGACUGAUCUCAUCAAACUGUUUUCCCUAAACCUUCUACACUUACUUAGAAAUUAGGCAUCAACAUCCAUGUCAUCAGCAAAACUUUUAGCUACAUUCAUACUUGAACUAAAUCCAUCAAUUCUAUAAUUUCCAAAAAAAAAACGACACUACACCUUCUACUUGCUUCAUUGCACUAUCAAUACAAUUAGAUUUAGCUUGUAAUUUUUUACUAACCAUGUUAAUAGCAAAUAAAAUGUCAUGCCAAAUAAUCAUUCCAAGUAAGAACUCAAAAUUUUCAAGUGCAUCAAACAAACUUUCAGUCUCACUCUUUGAUAUAGCAUCUUCACACAAGGUAUAUAUUUCAAGUAAAGUUGGCCUUAUUUGAGGAGCUUGAUAUCUUAUAGCCUUGAUUCUCCCAUCGAGUAUUAGACAUAUUUUUUACCGUAAAAGAUGGAACAUGCUUAAGUAAAAUACUCCAUCUUUUGGUAGAGCUUGUAAAUAUAGUAUAGAUGCGUUGCACAAUUCCAAAAAAAAGAUACAACUUUCAAGCAAGAAUGUGCCAUGUCACUAACAACAAGAUUCAAGCUAUGACAAGUACAAGGUAGAAACAAUGCUUUCGGAUUAAUUUCUAGCAAUCGCUUUUAAACUCUUUGAUGUUUUCCUUUCAUAUUAGAACCAUUAUCAUAACCUUGUCCUCUCACAUUCUCAAUAUCAAAAUCAAGCGACUUAAGAGCAUUUUGUAAUUCUUUAAAGAGGUCUAGUCCCGAUGUAUCAUCUACCUUUAAGAACUCUAAGAAAUACUUUUCUAUUCUUAUUUUUCCACUUGACAUAUUCACACAUCGUACUAUUAUACUCAUUUGUUUUUGAUGACUAAUGUCAAGUGUAUAAUCAAAGAUAAUAGAGAAGUAUUUUGCCUCUUUAAUAAUACAGGGGAUAGAAAGUCCAACCUUAUAAGCAAGAAGAGAAAUCAGCUCAUUCUGAUUAUCAUGCCCAAGAUAGUGAUGAUGUAUCUUAUGAGUUUGGAUGCGUCUAAUAUGAUCCUUCAUAAUCAGAAUGAGCUGAUUUCUCUUCUCUCUUAUAAGGUUUCAGCAAUCAUCUCAAUCAUUCCUAAAAAAUUACCAUUACUAUUUUGGUAAAGUAUAUCACUUGAACCUCGAAAUGCCAAAUUUCUUUUCAAGAGACAUUUUAUAACAUAAAUUAUUCUGGAAAAAACUUGUCCCCAACGUUCUUUUUCUUUUGCAAUUUAUUUCUGGAAUUCUUAAUCAAUAGUUUGAUUACUUAGAAAUCUAACUUUUAAGUCAUUCCAAAUCCUCAUACUAGCCAUAUGCUCCACAUUUUUCUCAUGAUUUUUUUAGUCUAUCACUAAUAUGUUUCCAAUCUCUUAAACCUUUUCUUGCUAGUAAACUUAAUUGACCAUGAGAUUGAAAUAACUUACAGCAAAAACAAUACACUUUAUCCAGAUGCUGUAAGUAAAUCCACCACUUUCUAUCAUCAAUGUCUCCAUUACACAACUUUCUAAAAUAAUACUUAUAUGCAAAAUGCCUUUUAGUUACAUCAUCAAUAGGAUACACAAUAUUCAGUUUUCUUUUAGGUCCUUUUUCAAUCAACAAAUCCCUUGUUUUACUGUCAAGAUUAUUCCAAAUUAAAAAAAAAAAAAAAAGAUUAUUCCAAUUUCUAGGGUCAUAGAUAUCAAAAGGUGGAAGUUCAUCAUCAACAUUCACGUUUUACAUAUUAGAUGGAUUUGACAUGUUCUCAUGAGACUCAUUUACAUUAUCAUCUACAUUUUCACUUGAAUGAUCAUGAGGAUUGACACUAGGUUCUACACUAGGAAUGGCUGAAGCUUGACUAGGGAUUGUCGCAAGUGCAGGUGUUAUGAAGAAAUGUAGGCUUCGGAAAUUAACUUAUUGUUAUUUUGAUCUUAAAAGUUUAUGUACUAUAAAAGAAUGAUAAUGUACAAGAGCAGUUCUUGAUUUACAAUUUUGGGAAUGCGUCGUAAUUGCUUCUUGUGUGAGUGUAUUUUUAUCUAUACCAGAUUUAGGUCAAUGAGUAGGUAGGAAAAAAAACUUCCUUAAGUGAAAAAAACCUUGAGGAUGCAAUGAUUUAAAAAAAUCCAUGCAAUUUAGGUAUGCAGUCCAUAAACAUGUCCCAUGUUAUAAGAUUACAUAAUUAUCUAAAGCUACAAAGUCAAGAAUGUGAACUACGUAAUUCAAAUUUGCAAAGAACUUCAUAUAGAUUGCAAGCAAACUUAAAACAAAUAAAAGUAAAAGCAUUAAACCAUUUGAAGAUUUUGAAGCAAAAUAUUUAAUCAAAUAGGCAGAAUUAAAAUUUAUUAGAUAUGAAUAUCAUGAAGAACAAAAGCAAAGAUGAAAUGAAAUAAAACUUGGUAGCUUAUAUAAGAAUCUCAUUACAAUUUCAAGUAAUACGAAGGUGAAUGUGAAGCUUAGUACUCAGUUUUUGGAGAAGGUGAGUAUGAUGGUGGUGGUGGAGAACUGUAGACAUAUGGUGGUGGAGGAGAUUUGUAGUCAACCUUAGGGGAAGGUGAGUAGUAUGGUGGUGGAGGAGAUUUGUAGUCAACCUUAGGGGAAGGUGAGUAGUAUGGUGGUGGUGGUGAACUAUAGACGUAUGGUGGUGGUGGAGAUUUGUAAUCUACCUUAGGGGCAGGUGAGUAGUAUGGUGGUGGGGGUGAGCUGUAGACAUACGGUGGUGGGGGAGAUUUGUAGUCUACCUUCGGGGAAGGUGAGUAGUAUGGUGGUGGUGGUGAGCUAUAGACGUACGGUGGUGGAGGAGAUUUGUAGUCUACUUUAGGGGAAGGUGAGUAGUAUGGUGGUGGUGGUGAGCUGUAGACGUACGGUGGUGGGGGAGAUUUGUAGUCUACCUUAGGGGAAGGUGAGUAGUAUGGUGGUGGUGGUGAGCUGUAGACGUACGGUGGUGGGGGAGACUUGUAAACUACUUUAGGAGAAGGAGAGUAGUAUGGUGGUGGUGGUGAGCUGUAGACGUACGGUGGUGGGGGAGACUUGUAGACUACCUUAGGAGAAGGAGAGUAGUAUGGUGGUGGUGGAGAACUGUAGACAUACGGUGGUGGAGGAGACUUGUAGACUACCUUAGGAGAAGGAGAAUAAUAUGGUGGUGGUGGAGAACUGUAAACGUAUGGUGGUGGGGGAGACUUGUAGACUACCUUAGGAGAAGGAGAGUAGUAUGGUGGUGGUGGAGAACUGUAGACAUACGGUGGUGGGGGAGACUUGUAGACUACCUUAGGAGAAGGAGAAUAGUAUGGAGGUGGUGGAGAACUGUAAACAUACGGUGGUGGGGGAGACUUGUAGACUACCUUAGGAGAAGGAGAGUAGUAUGGUGGUGGUGGAGAACUAUAGACAUACGGUGGUGGGGGAGACUUGUAGUGUACCUUAGGGGAAGGAGAGUAAUAUGGUGGUGGUGGAGAACUGUAGACAUACGGUGGUGGGGGAGACUUGUAGUGUACCUUAGGAGAAGGAGAGUGAUAUGGUGGUGGUGGAGAACUGUAAACGUACGGUGGUGGGGAGGACUUGUACACAACCUUUGGAGAUGGAGAAUAACAUGGAGGAGGUGGUGGACAGACACAUACAUGAGGGUGUGGUGGAGAUUUGUAUAGAACCUUAGGGGAUGGUGCGUGGUAUGGUGAUGGAGGAGACUUGUAGUAUACUUUAGGAGAAGGGGAGUAGUAUGGUGGUGGUGGAGAACUGUAAACGUAUGGUGGUGGGGGAGACUUGUAGACUACCUUAGGAGAAGGAGAGUAGUAUGGUGGUGGUGGAGAACUGUAGACAUACGGUGGUGGGGGAGACUUGUAGACUACCUUAGGAGAAGGAGAGUAGUAUGGAGGUGGUGGAGAACUGUAAACAUACGGUGGUGGGGGAGACUUGUAGACUACCUUAGGAGAAGGAGAGUAGUAUGGUGGUGGUGGAGAACUGUAGACAUACGGUGGUGGGGGAGACUUGUAUAAAACCUUUGGUGAAG